UUUUUUUUUUUGUAAUAUUCAUGACAUAGUUAAUUUUAGAAUGGAAUUUGUGGAAUGUAAUACUUCUGUUGUUACUCAAGACUAAGAGGGAAAGUUUGGAACUAGCUGCAAUUAGUACUUGAGAGUUCGUAUUGUAUUUAACAUUUCUACUUCCAUGAAUUUGGAGUUAGUGGUAGCACCUUCUAGGAAAUGAAAGGAGGCAAAGCUUUUCAAAACUGGCUUCAUUUUGCCAGAUCUCACUAGGUAGAUCCAAGAUUCUUGGUGAAAUUUAAUGAAAGUGAAGUAGUAAUUAACAAUAAGGGACGAUUCAAGGACUGUUAGCGCUUGUCAAUGAGCAAGAGAAGUGACAACAUCAAAGCAUGCUUCAACAACAAAAUAGCUUAAAAUGGCUUAUGAAGAACUAUAUGUGACUUGUAAGCAUAGACUUGAGAUCUGGUUUGUGUCGGUUCAGUCCCUCGAGGCAUGUAGCACGCCAAAAAUGGUCGUAGGUUUGGACUCCAUAAUAUGCUAGCACUUGCUGUCUUGGUACAGAUUUCAUGUGGAUCCAUGUCAUUUGGCAUGUAUUCUUGGCACAGAACCUAAGACAUGAAAUAUAUACUUUAUUUUGAAUAUCAGCUUUUAAUUAACAAUGCAAGAUUGGCCAGAAUAAUUUCCGUAUGGCUAUAUGAUAACAAAAUCCAGGUAAUUUAUUUCAAAAAAAUCUUACCUGUGCAAAAACUAGAGCAUUUAUAGACAUUGGGAUUUGCCACCCAGUCCAUGUAUAGCGUCGAGAGUUGCUUUUGUGAAAAUGAAGAAGUGCAGUAAGAAUUGCUCAUGCCUAAAAUGUUCUUGGUCUUAUGUUAUGUUCUGAAGAAAUUUAAUUCUGAUCCUUGGUUUUGCUGCAUGUCAGCAAACCAGAAUUUUCAGGUUUCGGCAAAUGUCAGCCUCGAUCUCAGACUUGUUCUAUGGUUGUUAGAAGCAUUAUGCUGAGAUCUUUUGUAUGGUAGUGUUUGAUUACUCAACUUUUUAUGCUGUCGACAAGAGAACUGAUAUUGUCUUUUUAAAAAAACUUAAAAUUGAAACAAGAUAUCCUCUAGACAUUAGAUAUAUUCUUCUACAGAACUGCUGAAAGGUGCACUUUUCUCUUCUAGUAAAAACUUGGAAUUUAAAUGAGAUAUUUUAAUGUUCUUUUAAACAACUUGUGUUUAUGUUUAACAAGAAUUGCUUGGACAGACAUAUGAGAAGAAAGGUUGAGGUUUUAAUUAAUUUGAUAUGAAGGUUUGCUUUAGCCCUUCAGGUAGUUAAGGCCGUCUGCUUUGUGUAUACAUUGAUUAGUAAUUUCUCGAAGGCUUAGAUAACUUUGCUGAUGUUAUGCAAAACGUCUAUUUUAUGGGAUUUGCAUGUGAAUACUAUAGUUUGUUGGUAUGUCUUUAAGUUAUAAGGACCACCACUUUAUGAAAUUAUAAAUGAAGUCAGAUUCAGCUUUGAAAAUCAGCAUAUGCCCAUUCUUAUGAGAAUGAAAAAAAAGAGUUUUUGAGAAUACACCAGAACAUUGUACUGAUAUAUGCAUUCUAGUGGAAAUACCUUUGAUAUUGGUAAACUCGUUUCAUAUGCUUGAAAUCCUUGGAGGUUGAAAUUUUACCUUUUUAUUAGAUUGAUUCCUAGUAGUUAUAUUUUGCUUUCUCACUUUGUUGGGCACUAAAUGAUAACCAUGUUCCAGUCUGUACUCCGAGGUAGAUUCUUGAGAAAUGGCAGGUCUGUUGAGGAUGGACAACAGCAUUCCGUUGCAGCUAGAGAAUUAGGUCAGCUAAGGCAGCGUCAAACUGUAUCUGGCUUCAGGUAUGGUUUCAUCUAUAUCUCCAAAUGAUCAAUAGGGUUAAUUGAAGUUGAUAUAUCAAAUUUCUGUUUCUAGGGAAGGAUUUCGCUCUCAAGAGAGCAGUAUUGUCACUGAUCAAGCAAGCAGCCAAUCUGCUGAUGGUGAUAGCGUCAAUAUAUCUGGAAAUGAUAUCUCUGUCACAAAUGCAUUGGAGGUUUCCGAUGUGACCUAUGAUCAAUUUCAAGCAAGCGAUGAUGAUAUUGAUAUACAUCAGACAGCAGAAGUUGAUACUACAGUUCAGAUGGAAAGCAACAUGCAGAGCAGUGAUAUGGGCGGGAGAGAAUAUGCAAUUCAGGAUGAUAAUUGGCCGGAGGAUGAUGCAGAACAUGGGCAAGGGGAUUGGCAACAGCCUAUUGAAGUCGGAUUGAGUGUACAACAUGAUGGCCCUGUAGAAGAACCUGACAGGAACUGGCAUGAAAAUGUAGACCAGGAGUGGCUUCAUGAAACCCCUGAAGAUGAAGAUAGACAAGGUACCCUUCUUCUGGAAGCACAUCAACAUUGGCAUAGCGAUAAUUCUCAAGCGACUGAAGCAAACUGGCAAGAUGGACCAUCAGACUCUUUAAAUGAUCAGCAUUCUUUUCGUGUUAUAAGAAACGGAGUCAUUUCAUCAGAUGAUGACAAUGUGUAUAGCAUGGAACUUCAGGAACUCUUGAGCAGGUAUUAGCUGAUAGUGUAGUUGGCUAAAUUGUAAGAGGUGAAAUUAUGUUGGGUCAUCAUCUUGCUGAGUUGUUUCAUACUUGCACUGCAGGCGAAGUGUAUCUAAUCUUCUUCACAGUGGGUUUCGUGAAAGUCUCGACCAACUAGUACAGUCCUAUAUUCAAAGGCAGGGGCGUGAUGCAUUUCAGUGGGACAUGCAAAGUGCUAUGCCUGACCAUGUUUCACCAGAGGAAGACCAGAGGCAGCAAAGAGAUGAUUUGAUUCAGAGCCAACAAGAUUCUGUUACCAGGCCUCUACAUACUCCACCAACGCCACCGACACCACCUCCGCUGCCACUAUGGCAUUCAGAAUUGCAUAACAGUUGGAGUCGGCAGCACAUCCGUCGCACCGAUAUUGUGAGCUUAUCUUCUUUUAUCGUCUGAUUUGUUAAGUUGUGUCGGAAAGUUUGUGUUAAUGAAGAUUUUAGUUAACCUCAAGCUUUUUGUAACCUAUAUAUGUUUUUCCUUUCUUCGUGAAUACAGGAUGUGUGAUUGGCUACACUAUUUUGAUUGUAUUUAUUGGAUGUGUUUCAUAAACUUGAGAUUAUCUAGUUUGAUACUGAUAUGGUUUUGUUGAUGCAGGAAUGGGAUAUUGUUAAUGAUUUAAGGGCUGACAUGGCUAAGCUUCAGCAAGUGAUGUGUCAUAUGCAACGGAUGUUGGAGGCAUGCUUAGAUAUGCAGCUAGAGUUGCAGCGUGCGGUUAGACAAGAGGUUUCAGCAGCUUUAAAUCGUUCAGUUGGAGAACAUGGUCAGUAGCUUCAUUUUAGUGACAGAGACGUCCUACAUCUUUUUUCUAUAUUGCACAUAGAAGAUUGAUUCAGUUCUUUUAUCUUCUCUGGUACUAUCAUCAUAAGCAGUACAUGUUCAAGUCUAUAUCAUGGUUGCAGGAUGAUAUUGUCGUGCAUGGGUUUUGAAUAAAACCCAUGAAUUUUGAAAUAUAUGCAUAAAUAUUAAAAUUCACGAAAUACUAGUCAUAAUUUUAAGCAUUAUUAUGACACACAGUUUUGGUUCUAGGAAGCAAACCUGAAUGCUGGGAAGCCAUGUUGGUUUAAUUGAAAGGGUUUGUCAACACUGUAGUUUUAACCUUUUCUUAUAAGCACUAGUUGAAUUCAAAGUGAUCAAUUUGAAGAACAUAGGUUUUCUUGGUAAGUAUGUGAUUAAGUUUAUUGAUAAACUAUUUAAACUUUCAUGUUCUUUAGUCCCUUUAUUUCUCUUUCUUAUUUGUACUCCUUGGGUUUUAGCUGCAGUCUCCAUAGAAUAAGAUCCAGUGUUUCACUAUUUGGCAUUACUUAAGUUAGCUGCAGUAUGAUGUUUGUGUUUCUGUCAGAUACUUAUCAGACUAAUUUAUUCAAAUAAUGAAAAUGGAACAAUUUAAAAGGGUUGGCCCUUUUAUAAAUCUUAAGGCUUAUUGCGAACUAAACUUCCAAAUAUCAACAUAAAUAUCUUAUUUGUUUAUAAUUAUUAUUCUCCUACAUGUUCCUGUAUUUAAAUUGUCUGCUUGUGAAAUUUUCUCUCCUUGAGAAGGUGCCAUUUAUUUCAUGUUCUCUAUUUAAAUUUUGUCUUCUUGUCUAAUUCUUAUGGUGUGUUGUGCAAUUCUGCCAUCAGUUACAUAUGGUCACAAAAGCAAGCAGAGUCAUAAAGCUCUAUCCUACUUUUAGUGAGUUUCCUUUACCGAAUCACUAUGGCCUUUGCUUACGCAGCUGUGUGGUGAGCACAAGGAGAAUUAUUGUUUCACCUUUUUUACACUAUGGCUUGGUUCAAAAUAAAAUUCUUCUGUUUAAUUUCUGCUUUGCAAAUAACACAUCCUUGCUGUUCUAAGAGUGCAUCUUUUCUUUUGUGCUUCAUGUAUGUGGGAAUACGACCAUAAACCCGUCAAAAACAUGAUUUUUUUGGUUGGAAUUGGACUAUAUUGUUGCUGAAGAUGUUUUGCUGGCCUUCUCAUUGCUUUGGAAACACAUUUUUCUGUAUAAAAAUUGUUUUUAGAUUUGCUUAAUCCUACUUCUAAUGCGGCAGGGGAAGUCGGAGAAUCAUCAGAAGAUGGAAUAAAAUGGAGUAACGUGAGAAAAGGGAUUUGUUGUGUCUGUUGCGAUAAUCAAAUCGACUCUCUUCUUUACAGGUAAUAGUUUCCUCAUACUUCACCUACAACAGUGCAUUAUUAAAUGGAGAAUUCUUCGAUUGUUUUUGUUCUAUACAGAUGUGGGCACAUGUGCACCUGCUCAGGAUGCGCGAACGAGUUGGCUCAAGGCGGAGGCAAGUGCCCUUUGUGCCAUGCACCCAUCGUUGAGGUGGUUCGUGCCUAUUCCAUAGUGUAGAAGUAAUAAACUGGGUUGGAGACAAAAGGGGGACCGUCGGUUUCGAUGAGGGGAAGGGAAGCUCUCCAGAUUCAUCAAAAGAUGUAUCCGUGGUCGUUCAUGGUGUCUUUGGCUUUAGGCAUUCUUAUGAUUAUUAUGAGAGUCAGGAAUUUUGAGUGGACCUGUAAAUGGCACCUUCUCAUCAUCACUGAUUCACAAUAAAUAUUAUAAAAAAAGAAAAAAAUGAAGCAAAGGGUUCCUAGAACUUUUUGUUCGUAUCAUCCUGGAUAUCCGCUCUCUUAACAAUUUUUCCCUCAAACUCGAGACUUAUCAGGAAACCAAAUAGUAGUAUGGGAAGCACGAGGAUGGUCGUUCUUGGCCGAGGGAGAGACCUGCUCCGGCUUCACGUCUAUGCGAUGAUCAUCCUAAUACUGAUGAUGAUGGAAUCGCCUCAACUUUCACGAUGAGGUUCAUUUGUGAUGAUGAUGAACCAUCGAGGGCUGCGUCACGUCUAUGCGACAAGAGGCGUAAAGCUUGAUCAUCCAGAACUACAGAACGGGUCUUGUAGCAAGCAGUUGAUAUAGGAUACUUAAAGCAGUUGAUGUAGCAAGCAGAAUACUUAAAGCAUCAAGAUUUUGUUUACUACUAAAAUCAUGAAUUCCUUUUCCUCCCAUUCCAUUUCUGACCCAGUAAGAUUUUUCUCUGUUGAAUUCCCAAUAACAUUAGAAGGUGGAUCAAUAUAUUUCUUUGAAUCAAUAUAUUUCUUCCUAUAUCAAUAACAAAUCCCAAUGACAAGUUAUCUUGUGUGUACAAGAUAACUUGGCCCAUGCAAAGUAUUUAAGUAUUUUUUUCGCUUUAUUUGGCUGCACUAAAUAGAAUAUGUUUUGCUGACUCCAUAUUGCCCCAAAAUCUAUACCUUUUCCUUGUUUUCUUGUUGAAACCCAUAGAAAAAUGCAAUCCAGUUACAAGUGUCAAAGUUGACUACAGGAUGAUUGUAUUUAGUAUUCAUGUCAAUAAGUUUGGCUUGCAUUGGCAUACCUGACACUCAAAAAAGACUUCCUCCUUGACCAACUUAUUCAGAAACAAAGAUCUUAAGGAAAUCAUGAACUCGGUUAAAAGAUAAAUACAUGCUCACAUAGACACGAUCGUGUAAUAUGCUAUGGUAUGGUGCUGACACAUGAUAUGCUAUUUUUAUAAAUGACCAAAAUACAAUUUCGACAGGAUGGUGUUUCUGCACAAGCAGUUUAGCCGGGAAUUAGAUGUGCCUUCUCUUUGUUUAAUGAGGUUAUGACACGGUUAUGGUUCAAAGAAAUAUAGGGCGGGCUGGCAAACAAUAGGAGCAGCAGAAUCUCACUUACAUAUACAAGAUGAAAGAAAAGAAAAAUAAAUAAAUAUAACUUUACAUGCCGAGGAAAAUGGUAGACCUACGGUUAUGUGCCUGCUUCAAUCCUUUCCAGGACUUCCAGCCUUGUCUUCCUCUUCCAACCUUUCAUAGUGGCAACAAGGUUUACCAGUCCAUUUAUUUGACUUUUACUGUAUUCCUGCAGAUUCAACACAAAUCUAAGCUAAAACAAUGCUGGAGAUUAAACAAGGAGAACUGCACUUUGCUGAGAUUCUACUCAUAAUAAAAAUCAAUUCGUACCGGAUGAGCACGUGCCCAAUGCACAUAUUCAGUCUCUGGAAGAUAGUAGGCCUGUUAUCAUGGAAACAAACAACAGUUGUAAAUAUAGUGCCAAGUUUCAGUCAAAUAGUUCAGGAUGAUGAGGUACCACAAAAACAAGUAAUUUGACUGGACUAUCUCAUGCAAAUGGACCAAUUUGUAUCACAACGUAACAAGAGUUGAAUAUUAGUAUGACAAAAUGUGCUAAGCUUUAGUUCACUGAUGAUAACUAAAAAGUUUGUUCAUAGUCAAUGUGAAAAUUUAAGGCUUUAAAACCGUUGUUUAUGUAAAUAUAAAUAAUAUCAGUAAACUCACUAGACAUAGUCCAUAUAUUUCUUUCUAAUACUAGUUAUUACAUUCUUACACAUUUUAAAAAAAUUAUAUAUAUAUAUAUAUAUAUAUAUAUAUAUAUAUAGUUCCAUCAUAAUAAAUUUUAGGAACUCUAUCACAAGAUAUUUUAACCUAAAAAGCUAUUUUUUCAUCAAUUGCCUUAAUAAACACCUUUUAUGUUUGGUCUUCGAAGCAUAAAAAUUAUUAAUUCUCAGAAAUAGUUGUUUCCAUCUUAUCCUACCUUCGCUCAUCAUUUAUCAAAACAACAUCCCCGCAAGUUCACAUAUAAUCCUUAGGUUUUCUACAUGCUUGUAUUUUGCUAAAGACAUCUUCACUUCCACAAUCAAGAACUAAGGGAUUUGAAAAUAAUCAACAGAAAAAAUAUAUAUAUUGGGAGAUCACCGAGCAUCCACUAUCCCUUAUAUUUGCAUUAACCACCUCCUACAGACCUCCUCAUGAGGGGCCUUUUUGGUUGAUUUAUCUUCCUUGUGUCACCAGCAGUUUUAAGAAGGAAACACUCAGAUGGAAAUCCAUCAGUAGUGGCAGCUUGUUAUCUUAACAUUCCACCACAGUUCAACAAGUUGGGAUGUAAUAACGAAUGGUCAAUGCAAACACUGAUAUUUUUCUUCGAAAAGAUUAUGUUUUCUACAGCUAUUCGUACUUAACAUUUCCAACAGACAUUAUUGAAUUUGUUUCAGAGUAUUUGAUAUCUUGACACAAAUUUUAAAAAUCCAUAUGGUGCAUGAAACUGAGUGUGCAGACAACACAGUGGAAUUAAGAAAUCUUCAAACUGAUAUAACACUGCAUAUGACACAAGAAAAAACUUUACCUUGAUAAACACUUCCACUAUCUGCAACUUUGGCUUCACAUUUAUGGUGACAAAAUGUUGUAGUCCAUUAAUCAACACCUGAAAUUAGUAAAGGAUAUAAGUACCUGUAAGUCUUUUCCAGAACUAACAUCAUCAUAGAUUAUUAAAACCUGAAGGUCGAGUGACAUUAAAACCCGUCCUUCAUCCGUGCAUCUCUUUACGCGUGAUAGACCUUCAAUAAGUAUUUCUGCAACAUUUUCAAGUCCAUAUUCCAGAAGGAGAUCUUGAACCUGAUAUAUUGUGAAUGAGAUUAAUACCAAUGACAAAGACUACAAUACGGACAUUGUUUUUGUACCUGCUUGGACUAAUAAUAUAAGUUUCCUGGAGAAGCAAUCUUAUUGGAUCUCCAUAUAAAAGGAAAAUGUGUUAUAAAUAACAGAAUGAUUGAUUGUAGUAUUUUGCUCAAGAAAAACUACUACAAAGGAGUCCUGGCAUUCUAUAAUAUUGUAUAUGAUUUAUGAGUUCAUGUAUCUCAUAACACAAAGACUCCAUUAUCAGCAUACUUCACAGCUUUCCCUUUUCUCCUGUUGGUUUACAAGUUUGAUCAAGUGUCACUAACAUACUGAUGCUAGAAUGGAUUUACAAGCCAACAGGUUCUUUUGCAAGGUGAUAUAAAUUGGUUGACUACAGCAUUAGUGUACGGACUUGAGCACAAGGGUGAAAAGAAUAGAAGUACAGGUACAGUUAACAAAAAAGUCAUACAGGGAAUUAAUUGUAUUUGGGAGAUAAAAAUUCAUCCAGUUUCUUUUGCAAGGCAAUAUAAAUUUGGUUGACUAAGACAUUGGUGUAUGGACUUGAAGCACAAGAGUGAAAAGAACAGAAGUAUAGCUACAGUUAACUAAAGAGUCACAUAGGGAAUUAAUCAAAUUUCGGAGAUAAAAAUGUAACCAGACUGUCAAAGUUAAGAAAAUUAUUAAAUGUGAUUACCUCCUUUGAAAUACCACCAUGCAUCAAUCUUGUUUUAUAAUGUUUGAAUUCUCCCAAUAACAAGUCGACAUACCUAUCAUUAUAAAACAAACAUGAAAUAUUAAAUAAGAAAGCCAAAUCAAGUGAACAAAAGAAUAGGAAAUAUGUGUAAUAAUUGACAAAAUUUUCAAAUUAUCAGCCAUGCUGUUAAACAAUCUAGGUUAUGUCCAUCUGUCAACCAACUACCUUAUAUCUUUUAAGACAACCUCAUGACUAAUUUUGCCUUUAAUAGGAAAAUGAAACCAACUUGGGGGAGAUUUGUUAUCAUGUUGAGAAUCCAUAGAAGUAUCCUAUGGAAAUUCUGUGAACCUUUCGUAAUUUUAAGGUAUUUCCUAUAUAGUCAACCCUAAAAGUCUUCAAUGAUCAUAUGUACAAAUUGUAUGAAACAAACAAGAAAUGCCAAUUAGUUUCUGCAUAAAACAAAAGCACAAUGUUCUAUCAAAUAACAAGCAUGUAGUUAAUAUUGUAGGUCAAAAAUUUUGAAGUACAAUUAAGGAUUUUUCACAUCAAAAUAAUAACAAAGUAAAAUUAAGAACCAAGCAUCAUGACAUCUCUAAUAAUUUGCUUAAAACUAACAAGAAAACUAAGUCUUAAAUCAGACAGUUCAGUAUUUGUGAUAUGUAGAUUAAAGAAUAGGGUAAAGAUAAGUUUGUACCCUAGGGGUGUACCUUAUUUUGUUGUAUAGUGAACUAAAAGUAUAUCCCCACAAAAAAAUUUAAAAUUUAUCAAUUAGUAAUUCUUAACCAAUUAUCUGAGACCCAUCCUUUUAAUACCACCCAGAACAAGUUUAUAAAGCCAGAUGGUAAAUAUGUAUCACACCUUAAAAGCCAGCUUCAGUAUAUUCCGGUACCUACUAGCCAAUACCAACAAAAAUUCAUUGGUACUAAUUGCCAAAGCUGGCCAAAAUAGAUCAAAAUAGUUCAGAGUGGCUGAGAGUGUUGACAAGAUGCACACUGCUUCCUCCGGUUGGCAAAAGGGUGUGCCACAGAAAAUAAAUCAUUGGUUACACUUCAGUAACAUUACUGAGAACUUACAACCAAGGAUAUGCUCUUGGUUUAAAGUGAUGUUUGUGCAUAAUGGACCAAAAAUAGUACCACUUUGAGGAAAUCAGAAAAAUGGACUUGCAUAUAUGAACUGAACUAACUAAAAUUUGAGCUGGAAUCUCAUAGUCAAUGCCAACAAAGCCCACAGUGUCCGACUCAGGUUAUAAAGUUACUUGGACCAUUGCAAUUGUACCAAAGAAAUUCUAUAGGCUUCUAUGUGGACUAAUGCUUCCUGGAAUGAAUUAGCAUUUGACACGCGGUUAGCCUCAUCAGAGAGCAACUUCUAAGGAUAUGGAUGGAAGGAGGCCAAAUAGAUUUACUCCAAAAAAGAAAAGUAAACUACAGAAGAAAUUUAUAAGAUAUGUGGCAGCUGAGGAAUUGAGUAGGAAAAUCAUAAUUCUUCACUAUCUACAUUCUGAACAUCUUAAAGUAUGGGCUUGCAUAUUGGACCAGGUGUUCUAAUAAUAACUUGGAUACAUGUAUAAGAUCAUAUUAACAAGGGCAGCUCCAACUGAGUUAUUGAGCUAGCAGCUCAGUGCAAUGCAAAAAAGAUUUCUAAUCUUUUCAAAUGCCCACAUAUAAAAAUGAGCAUGUGAAAGGGCAUUUGACUGAUCACACAACAGAAACAUUAUUUUGGCAGGCAGUCCUUAAUUAGAACUAACCUCAAUAUAAUUAAUUAUGUAAGAAAUUGCCUUGCAUGCAAGGAACAUGCUUUAAUUGUCUUUAGUCAGGACCCUGGAUCUCAAUGCACAAGUUUUUAUUAGGAACAAUAUCUUAAAAACUGUGAAGGAUGUAAAUACACACGUGACUUGCAUAGAACAUCUACAACAGGAAAGAAGAGGUUUUUUUUGCUAUGGAUAUAAGUAGCUUAAGAUGAACAAUACUAUGCUGAAUUUAAUAAGCCGGGAAUGACAUUCAAGGAUAGGCUCACUACUUAGCAUGUACUAUAAGGUAACAACCAAAAUAAAUUUACAAUAACAAGCAACCAAAAAUAGAAAAUUAUCAUGGAACCAACCCAUUGUGCUCUAAGCCAAGCUCCUUGACCUCCCAUUUUGCAUUAGCAAUCUUAUCUGCAUACCUGGCCAGCAUUAAGAUGCUAAAAUUGUAACUGUGACUAAAUAAAAAAUAAGAAAAUGCAAGCACUUUUGGACAUGAAAGAGCUAAUUUUAUGAAGCAAGGUAUCUUCUUAUGAAUCUUGGGCAUAUAUUACAACUAUAAAGACCAAGUAAUAAUUCUCAGAUUUUUAUGGCAAUGUCAAUCACAUGUUGCACCAAAAUGUAAAUGCUCUUUAUUGGCACCCAAAUGAUGUGACUUUUAGUUCUGUCAAUUUAUGUUGGACCAAGUGCUCUAGAAUAUACAGAUUGACAUCAGACCGGCAGAAGAUUGGACUAAUGCAUUAAAUGUUGAACUGAGAAGGCUGGCCAAAAAACAGGGAAUUUGCAACUUUAUUUAUAAACAUGAACUCUAAAUGAUUGCCGACCCCAAAUUGUUGGGACUUACAACUUUGUUGUAGUUGUUGUAACUUUAAAUGAUUGGCCAAGCUUUUCUAAAAUUACGUCUCCAUCUGAAAUUUGACAAACUUUUAUGACCAACUGCUAGAAAUAACAUCACCCUCAAAAGUUGUGACAAAUUCCUGGCUUAGAUUUUGGCAGGAGAGGUAAACAAAAUAUUUAAGAAUAACCAUUAUGAGCAUAACAGUGCAGAGGAAUACAGAAAUGCAAGAUUCAACAGCAUAACCUCUGUGGGUCACCUACAACAGUUCCAACAUUUAUCAUAUAGUAUGCCCUUUAAUAUAUAUCAGGUACCAAUACACCCAGGAUGAUAGCAAUAAAGAAAGCUAGAAUGUGACAACAUUAUUCCUGUCUUGCUAGCAUAACCAACAAGGUUUUAAUCUUCUGCUUGAUCGACACUGCAUUAAGUUCACAAUACAAACGGCUUGCCAAGAAGUUUAAGAAAUGAAGCUAAAUGCUCUGAUACUUCACAAUGAGAAGUCAUGCGGGUACCACGGCAGAUGAAUUUGGAUUGGAGGAUAAGUUUUUAAUAAGAACACACACCAGAUAUCUUACUAGCUUCCUUACGGGUCGUGUGAAGAUGAUGGAAAAAGAAAGUGUGUAUGCGACAAAAGAUCAUAGUUGUUACAGUAGGGCAAUUGCAAAGCUCUCAAGAAAUGCUAAAAAGAAUAUCAUAUUAUCAUUGUCGCAAUAUGGCACUUAGAAUUUAGCUCUCAAGAAUUAGAACAUUAAGCAAAAAGUAGUAAGUGAUUGAUACUAAUGAAGACAAUAGAAAUAAAAAAUAUUAACAUUGCCAGGGAACAAUACUAAUUGCCUAGUUAUAUGGUAAUUUGUUUAGCAAUGUCAAAAAGGGCAAUUCAAGAACCAAAUGUCCUAAUUUGCCGUCUUCGAUUUAACAAAGGAAUAAAUAACAAGUGCAUGAAAUCUAGGAGCAACGUAAUAUUGCUUAUUCAAGAGAGCAUAUUUGAAGGUGGCAGGAAGUACUUCUUUAAUAACUAUGAGAUUAACUAUCACAAGCAGACCUCAUUUUGUUUUACAAAGUCACUACUCAUUUGCCACAUGUUAGCAAAGCCAGUACAAAAGUAUCCUGCCUGUUCUCAUCUUUAUAGGCUUCAUACAUGCCCUAUUUGUUCCUCCCACUCACAGCUUCCAUGUCAAGACUAUCAGAUUGAGCAAUCUUACAUAUUCUUACUACUAACAUAUGUGGAGCUUUAACAAUCAACGAACUAAUGAUUUCUUGAUGUACAGUUUAGAAAAAAAUAGUGUACAUGGAAGAGAAUUUUCAUGGAAGCAUUAUAUUUCCAUCAGAAUGAUCAAGCCACAGUUAUCAGCAUAUACCCAUUAAUAUGAAGAAGCAUACGUGCAGUUGUUCUGUGAAUGUGCUCAGUCAGAUCAGGAACAGAGUCCACCUGACACAAGAAAGUCAAGUUUAAGUCACCCUAAACCUUGCCAUUUCUCGACAAAAGGUGAUAUAAAAAAUGAUAAAAUAAAUACAAAAAACAUAGGCAGUAAUUAGGCAAAGCUGAUCAUCAUUAACCUCGAGGAAAAAAACAGUGAAGACUAAAAGGAAAGAAAUUAAGCGCACUGGUCGUUUGGGAAAAGACUGAGCAAAGAUUACCAUAUUUACAAAAAAUUCUUCUACUACAGCAGCAUUAUGCUGCAAUAACAUAGACUGGAGAUGCGCCUUUGAUCUAUGCAAUACUUGAGCAACUAGUGAUAUUGUGUCAACAGCAGAACAACGUUCCUGUAACGGGAGAAAAUAGCAAUAAGCAGAGCAGUAAAUUGACCCAGUGAGAGAAAAUGCAUAUUCAUAAGAUAAAUGUUAUAAAAACCCAGGAAGAUUACUGAUGGCAGAAUAAAUUGGUUCAUGGGCCACAAAUUUACUCCAAAAUAAAAAUCGGAGCAUGAGUGUCUGAUAGACAUUUUAGUAUAGAAAUAAAAUGUUUCAAUACUUCUUGUUCUUCUUUCUAAUUUAUUUCAAAAAAGAUAUAUAUUUUUUAUAUGAACUGUUCAGACAGUAUUGUACAACUAUCUCAACAAUUUUCAAAUUGAAUUGUUCUGGUACACUGACCUGUACCACUGUAGGACCAUUGAAUAAAAAUUUAGAACCAAUAUCAAUGCUACAUGCUUUAACAACAGUACUUGGUUGAACCCAUAAGUAUUGGUUGGUACCUUAUUUACCGAACUGACCAGUAUUUAAAUGCUUUAUAGCACAUAUGCAGUAGAUGUCAAAUACCUUAAGUCCAAUGGAAGUAUUAGGCACAUGCCCAAAAAUUGUGCUGGGAGGUGCUGUAGGUGUUACUUCCAUCUGUGUAAAUGUUGGGCUCAUUGGAAUAGGAGAUGAGAUUGAAUAUGACAUGCUUUGGGUUCUGAUCCACUGAUCACAAUCUUGCAGAAUCUUCGAUAAGGCUGUUUUGACUCGAGCUGGACAUAACAGAAGCAAACAAAACCUUUCAUAUUAUAGUAAAUACAUUACAUACAAUAUGUCAUCCAGCUGAAUUAUGCUUAAGACUGGGUAAAUGAAAGAGAUAAUAAGUUGCUCACUUUGCGAAAAGUCUGGAAUAGAUUUACCACUUUGACUAGUUUCUGGUUGACCAAAUGUCUCAAAUAUAUGAUGAUAAAAAAUCCCAAACAACUGGCACAUUCCCUGCAAUAACAUACUGAAUGAGAAGAAAGAAAAACAUUUAACAUUCAUCGUAAAAAGGUCUAAAAGAAGUAACAUAAAGAGAAUAUAAGUUGCAGCUUACCUUGAAAAAAUCAAUGCUGACUAUUUCCAAUUUCUGCAUGAGCCUGGCAUACUUGUCCAUCAACCUGAUUGAAUGAAGUAGUAAAAUUUCUGCAUUAUGAAAUACUAAGAUAAACAAUCUGCUCUGUGAGAGAGGACUUACCUCAAUAGACAAAGCGAGGACCCUGUCUGUGCUGAGAUCUCCUCACUACUCCAACCAGAGGAUUUGGUUCUCACAAGUGUGGGCUUAGAUAUUCGACUAGGCAACUGACUAUCCUCAUCAAUAAAGUCAGCAAGAAGGUCUUCAUUCUCAUCUUCCAUGACCGAACUGCUUCCAUUUAUGUGAUCAUCUAGAUGGCCCUUUGAAGAUAUUUGAUCACUAUGCAAAAUGACACGACCAUCACCAGAACUUGAGGUCAUUGACCCAUUAGGCGGUAAGUGAGAUCUUGGUGAUUCCUUACAGCCAAAUGCCAGCUUUGAAGAAAAUGGGUUUUCCAUCUGAAGCCAAUAAGCAAACCCAUUCUUCUGCUUGCCAGCAUCAACAAGGUCAUUAGUUCUCUUUGAGUCAAGCAUAGACAUGGAUGUAUUACCCAAAGAAGAAGCAAUCAAGGGAGCACCAUCACCAACGAGACCAGCUAAAUUAAUUACUUGUAGCAUGUCUGAUGACAUUUUCACCCAAGAUUCCUUUUCCAAGACCAUCUUAAGUGCCUGGAGAAACUAUUGUAAAUCAGCACUCUAUGCAACUAAAAGAAGCAAACUAGCGUUUUCCUUAAGUCAUUCAAAAACAAACCACAAUAGGUGACAAUAGAACAAAUUCAAAGAAAAUAUGACAUAUGCAAAAAAAACCUAAUCAGCUUAGAAUAUUCAACAAGAGACAAACAUAAUUAAUGUUGUCACAUGAGGUUCACAAUACCAUUGGUAAUGUAUGCUAUGAGCUAGGGUUUUUAAUUUCGAAUGAUACCGCCCGAUAGGGUUUUUAAUUUCGAAUGAUACCGCCCGUAUCCGGCGGUACAUAUUGGUCCGCCAACAGACCGGUACGCGGACCGCCCGCUACCGGGCGGUACCAUCGAUUGGGGCUGUUUCCGCCCCGUUACCACCCGAAAUUGGUCGAUGACGGUCGAUUUUGACCGUCGCCGCAUGCUACCGGGCGGUAUUAGUCGAGGGAGAAGGAAGAAGCGGAAGAAGAAGAGGGAGAAGAAAAGGGAGAACCUAGAGAUCCGAUGUCGCUCUCCUUUAACGAUCCCGAUCCGUCGCCACCCUCCCUCGACGGAUGUUGUAGAUGAGAUGCCGCCUCCUCCUAGUCUGAGGUGACGAGACCUCGGCAUCGUUGGCGACUUCUCCUAAUCUGCGAGGGGAGAAGAAGCCUCAGCGUGGGGAGAAGAAACCUCGACGACGUUGUCGAGGCUUCGAGGUUUUCUUCGCCCCACGCAAGGAGAAGAAACGACGCGACGUUGCCUCGACGAUGUCGCCCCUUUUUUUAAAUUUUGAACUUUUAUUUUUUUAACACACACACACACACACACACACACACACACACACACACACACACAUAUAUAUAUAUAUAUAUAUAUAUAUAGUACNNNNNNNNNNNNNNNNNNNNUUUAACUACACACACACACACACACACACACACACACACACACACACACAUAUAUAUAUAUAUAUAUAUAUAUAUAUCGAGCAGUAUGUCAAAGUGUACCGCUUGGUAUACUCGUACCAUACCGUACCGAGCUGAACUCGAAACUCCGGUACAGUACAAAAUUACACACCUUGCUAUGAGCAAUAUUUACUGGUUCAACAACCUAUCAAUACAUGGACCAAGGUAAACUACAUGAUAUGCUCAGUCCAGGACUUGUACCACCCAAUAUGCCAAAUGCAGGUUAUAAGGAAGGGCCUAUACCAUCUGGUACAGGACAUGACAAGCCCUACACCAGGCAAUUUCUUUUUUUUUCUGGUAUUUUCAAUACUUCUCUGAAACUCGAAACUCUCGAUAUUUUUCGUACCUGUCCAAACCCUGACCAAUACAAAAUUACAAACCUUGAUGGGAAGAGAAACAUAUUCUAAGGAUUGAUAACUAUACAUACAAUAAACAAACAUUCUAGCUCCUAGAUACAAGCAACAACUUGAAUUUGAGAAGUACUCCUCACAUACUUCCCAUAAACCUCAAGGAUUUCCAUUAUGAUAAUAAAUUCAGAAAUUGUCAUGUUUCUCAGAUACCUACAUAGAGACUUCUGAUUAUGGACAAGAUCAGUGACUGACAACAGGGCAGAAACGUGCAUCAACAUAUAGAGCAUCAUAUCAUGAUCAGUUAGAUUUAGGAUAGUCAUCUUAGUUUCUUCAUGCUAUAUUUCCUUUUUUUGGAGCAUUUAGAUGCUUCUGGAUGAAUUAGCUAUAUCAUGCCCAUUUAAAUGUUAUUGGCAUACUUAACACAGUCAAUAGUUAUAUACCUCUUAAUUAAUAACCAAGGCCAUAUGUAAUCAUAAAACCAGCUAAAAUGCCGUUAGCUCCUGCCUUCAGAAAUUCUGAUCAUUAAAAAAAAAAUCAUAAAAUGCAUACGAUUGGAGAGCAUUGGAGUAGGAUUGUUAGAUAGGAUGGCAUCAUAAUCCUACAUGAGCACCUAUCCAUCAUUCUAUGCAUACAUGCUUGGCAGGCACAAGGCCUUUAAGUUCUCAUAUUCACAGCAGAAAUUGCUAGUGAGCUCCCUAGAUUACUUGCAGUUUUAUGCAUGGGCCUGAGAUCCUUCAGUCCAUUUUCCACUGUUUUCAAAAAUAGUGACCUAGAAAGAAGUUUUAGACAGGAACAAGAAAUUACUAUCAAAAGAAGAAUUUUCACAUUGAGAAAGGAUGCUCUUAGUGAUAAAUUUUUCUUUGUUUAAAAGAUGUUACUCUUGAGUAGCUUUGCCAUGUUAGGUCUACUCUAGUAAAUAGAAAGAGGGCUACAUCUGGAAACUACUUCGAAGGCUAGGAUAUAUUAAAAAAAAAAUCAUAAAAUCAUAUUGCUAUUGAUACAUCUCAAACACCAGUUUUGUGUCAAACAUAUGCUUAUUGUCAUUCAAACUCUAGAAAGAUUUUACAUGUUAUUAAAUAGAGCAGGGAACAGAUAUCAGCAGCAGGGCACAGAUAUCAGCCCGGAUUGAACAAGGUGGUCCAAUAAGGACAAAUUUAAGUAUGACACUAAAUGGUAUAGAUGCUCAACCAUGAAUACUUCAACCAUGCAUGGGUCACAUGUUAUACUACAUGAGUUCGGAAAAACUCAACCAUGGAAAUGUAGCCAAACCCAAGCCAAACAAAUUACAGUGUUUAAGUGUUUUUUGCCAAUAACUAUUGUUCUGUCUGAGAGAUGAGAUGCAGAAAACCAAGUCUUAGUUCAAUUGGCAUAAAAAGUGCUUGACAACCAAACCAACUGUUUGCUAUGUUGAGCUUGACCAAGAACUAAUCUGGCCCUUGAAACUAAAUCUAACUGUUUCUCAACACCCUAAAUUCCUCUCUGCUGCACAUAUGACCUGGUCCAGGCCACAAUGACCUUGAAUGAAUGGUUACAAGACACUGAAGGAAGAAGGGCAGUCCAGAAAAGAGGCCGUAGUGGUAGGAACUUCCAAAUAUUUAUAUCCUUGUCCCUUUUUCCUUGUCAAUAUUUGUCCUGUGAACACCAUUGUUAUACUGUGUGUCAACCACCGAGCCCCAUUGUGACAAGAACAUCCUGCAAAUGAAUAAUUCCCAACCAUUUGCCAUCAGCUACAUGAAGACUUUCCUACCAGUAUGUCAGAUGAUAUCAGAUUUGACUAACCUAUCUACUGGUCUCCAAUAUUCUACCUGUAAAAAUAAAGUAAUUGGUCCUUGUCCUUAGCAGAAAAAGCCCAUAAGCUAGGAGUUCCCUGAGGCGGCAGAUAAAAUUCCUUUAUUCACAACUGAAGGACAGAGCAUAAACCCCGAUAUCCAGUUCCACCACCCAUGACAUAGAGACAGUUUUUGGGGUACACAGGCGUUUCAAAGCUUAAGAACAAAAAUGUUUUUUUAUCUUUAGGAGAGCCAGGAGGAGGAAGGGCAGCUAAUUUCAUUUCACGACUGCCAGAGGAGACUCUCAAACCAAGAAUUAGAAUAGAGCUGUAAAGAGGAAAAGAGCAGCAAAGAAAAAGGGGUUUAACUACUGUGAGCUCCUUCAAUAGCAAUAACACCAUUUUGGCAUCAGCUAAAUGUAUAAUUUAUUAAUGUUGAGGCCGUUCAAGAGCAAUAUCACCAGUUAUUAGUGCUCAUCAAUUCUAUUGUUUGUAACAAAACCCUCUAUACUCUUCCUUUCCUAUCCUACCACCACCAAUAUAUUAACUUAUACUUCACCCUCACAUCUGUGGAUGUCCAAUAAAUGAUUUUUGCUCAUGCCCAUUACAAUUCAUUCAUAGAAAGUUUUUCUUAUUGUCAAUUUAGGCUGGUAGAAUUUGGUUAUCAAAACAAGGCCCUUUGAACCAGUAUAAGUGGAAUGAUAUCAGAAUUUAUUUUUGCAGGCAGCUAGAGCCUAUCCCAAGACAAAUUCCAAUGUUAGAUUUAGACAUGUCUUGUUAGAUUUAUUGUUCAUCUUGUCCAAGAUCUCUUCUAAUUGCAUUGCCUCCUCAGCAUUGUGGAAUCCAACAACUGCCAUCACACUCAUAUAAUGGAAGGCCUUAAAGGUGAUGAAACAAAUUGGAGAGAAGAUACACAGGAAAUUACUGCAGUGAUUGACACAAACAACAACACUAGACACGCUGUGGUGUCAUGGUAAGAUUGCUCCCAAGGUUAUGGAUCUCUAAUUUACUGACUGCAUACUGCUGACCCAUGUUGCCUGGUACUAACCAAUAAAAAGUGUUAUAUCAAUUGGUAAAAUGUAGUUCGAUCUGAUCCUUUGUCAAACUGGUAAAUACCAAUUAAUAACUGCUAUUUACUGGUAUUUGAAACUUUGUUGGUCCUUUGCAAUCCAAGUUUCUAAGGUUCGAAUAACAGAAAUAGUCUUUCUACUUGCAAGGAUAAUCUUGCAUACCUUGACACUCCCCAAACCAUGCAUUAUCGAGUCUUGUCCACCAGGAAACCCUUCUUGGCUUCAUAUUGUUGCAAACCAUGCAAGAACUAAAACAAAAUAAGACUAUCAUACUAGAAUUUAUUUAGCUUUAUUGUGACUUAAAAUACUAGAAUUGUGUAAGUUCCAGAAAAAAAACACUUUAAUCUGCUAUAUUUUCUUUAGCAUGACAUUUUACCAAUGAACUCAGAAUAUCCAAAAAAAAAGGAAAAGAUGCUAACACACGGAACUGAAUGCAUAUUACUACUUGUACAUCUAAACCAAUUAUGAAUAGCACUUACAAGACUGGAAAAUUUGAAUAAGCUAGGUAUUUAACAAGAUUUAAUAGUUUUAUGAAAGAAUAUUAAACGAACUAAAUACUAGUGUAGUGUUACAUACAUACACAUUUUGACGGUGAAAGGAUGCCAGAUAACUUUCACAGGUAGUUUUCAACUUCUGCCUGAACUCAACAGCUUUAGCUCCACAGAAUGCUUCACCAGCUAAGAUAAAUAUGUUGAGAUCUUCAUAGUUUCUCAAGAAUUGGUAAGUGCUAGUUGAGCAAAUAGCAGAGGAAGACAGCAAGACAGAGACACGACUUGAUGUAAGUUGCCACACAUUUCUUCUCCCUCUUUCUAAUGUGUGUGCCACAAAAGCUGUGGCAUCUUUUCUCAACUGAUAGAAGGGAGAAUUGCAGCCUGAAGUAGCACCAUCAGCAUCACUUGCUUCAGCUGAUAAUCCACAAUAACUUUGGGGCAUUGUUACUGGAUCUUCAGUUAUCUUAUGUGGUACAUCAUAUCCAUCCACCUGGUUAGAAGUAACAGAUGCACAUUCACUAUUCUCAAUUGAGUCAAUUGGAACACUGGUCACUGAAUCAACUAUGAUUCCUUUCAAGUCAUGAGAUGUGUUACUUUGCCUCAUGUCAAUAUUUCGAUUCUGGGAAUUUAAACGCUGGGAGAACAGGGGGAAACUUAACUAUGAUGGAAUUGUAAAAGUAAAGCCUCAAUAUAUUUUAAAAUUUGAUAAUUAAACUUCAAGGCUGCAUAGCAGUUUUCCAAUAGGUAACUGGAACUAAAAGGCAUAUGAAAAUAAUACAAGAAAACAAUUAACAUUGUUACAUUGGUGUAAGCAGAAAGAAACUAAAAGUUGAUGUACAAGAGAGAAAAUUGAAAAGUGAAAUCAUAUGUACUCUUAAGCAAUGACUGCUGUACCACCCGAAAUGGUACGAAAAGGGCGGCAUGUACCGAUCCGGGCAUGGGCCGGUACACGGAUCACCCCAGUUUUAGGUGGCUCAGUCCAGUUCAGUAAAAGUAAUAAAAAAAUUGAAAAAAAAACAGUGGGGCCCAUCCAACUCAUCAUUAAAAUAAGAAAAGAACUUAUAAUAGAAAUUCGGGCUCACAAACAUGAGCCUUCUUCUUGCAUUCUUCGCUGCUGCCAUUGCCGCUGUCGCUGAUUCGCUAUUGCUUUGUCGCUGCCAACGUCAUUGCUGCUGCGUUCCUUUUUCUUCCCAGGUACGCUCCCAUCUCCUCUCCCCCUCUUCAUCCUUCUUCCUUCUCCUCCUCCACAGCUUCUUUUCUUCCUUCUUUCUCCAUCGCUUCCUCUUCUUCGUUCCUUCCUCCUUCCUUCACUACCGCUUCCUCUUCUCUCUUUUUUUCUUCCUCUCCAAGACAUUGGUAUAUACUGGUAUACCAUGUGUCAGUGUAUCGGUACUGACUGAUACAUACUGGGAUCUCCGAAACAGGUCUAGUACCCGAAAUGGCAAUCCUUGCUCUUUAGAUUCAGCAGAAAAACUGAUGCAUAAAGGCUUCAACUCUCAAGUAUAUAAAAAGAAAUCAUGUCUUAUAUUACUCUUAGAUACUUAAUGUAUGACAGAAUAUUGAAAAGUGAAAUCAUACGUACUCAAACUUCAGUAUAAACAUAGCUGCAUAGAAGUUUCAAAUUCUGGUUAUGUUUUACAGAAUGAAAAUGGUUUAUCUUACUAUUAAAUACUUAUAAAAUUCAGAUCACUAAAAGAAUGUUUGUCAUUUCUCAGAACGGAAAGAAUACCAAAAUGUAGGUAUAUACCAUGUCAUGCUGGUCAGCACAUUCCUUGUGCCGGCCAGCGCAAGCCAAAAAUGGCUUGGGUAUUUCUCAACACAACAAGCAUGGCAAACCAUGCAGAAUGGAAUUGGAUAUCAUGAACUCAGAUUGAGCUGAAUCAUGGUAGUAUCCAUGUAACUAGUCUGAUACAACUAGUAAACAACAAACUGUAAUGUCCCAACCACGGCUUCGAACAGCAGUACUGCACAUCCAUCCUGAAGGACCAGUACUGCACACCUGGCCUCCCAGUACGAGACAUAUGGUCCAAAACUGAUUAGUAAUAUUUUUUAAUAUUUUUCAGGUGAUACCAGACAGGAUUGGUCUGUAUACUACCGGAUAUACAGAUCAGUAGAUUACCAAAGCUAGUAUCUGACUGAGCUUUAAAUCCUUGGUCGACUCUAAACUACUUUUGAGUCAGCUAAAUGGAUCUUUUUCCACCAUUUUACUCAAUUUAAGAUAAAAUCACCAGUCAAAGUGAGAGCAAUCAAAUUUCUUUUUGUUGUUUCAGUGAAUUUUUCUUGGAUCUUCCUCAAAGUUCAUGUAACCAGCUUAAACAACUAAUAACCAGGGGAUCAAUAGAUUUCCCAUGUACAUGAACAUACUACCUUAAAUGGUUUCUCUUAUUUUGUCUACUUUUAGAGUUAAUAUCUAUUCAUGAAUUAAUAUCUCAAUCUAGUGUUGACGGAUGUGCCAACAGUUUAUACAAUUUUGGUUGGUACCACCUAGAUACUGGAGAGAGGAGUGGGGGAGGGUACGGGAGCCUAAAGAAAAAGAGGAAUGAUAGAAAAAUAAAAACAGCUAAGCCUGUGACAAUCAUCAAAAAAUUGAAAAAUAUAUCAGUACUAGAUGGUAGGCUUAUCAUCCAGGGACGAGAAGGCAGAUGAAGAGGAAGUGUGAGGAGGUGGCAGUGACAAUGUGAUGCCAAGUGUGUCCUAAUUAGUUGUGGGACCAGUAAAUAUCAACAUGUAACAAUUUGUGCAGGUGGUUUAAGGGGGCAACAAACAAUACAAAAGUAUAAAACUAUUAUGCCCUAUAUUUUAACAAUUUUUCAGUUUGCACAAACUAUAUAUUGUGUUAAUUGAUCUCUCCUUCGGAGUAAAUUAUUCAAGAUAUGUAAAACACUUGUUUUACAAAAUAGAAGGUGCUAACUAGGUGACCUAGGUGCUAUUGACCAUCUAGGCACUAGCCAAUCAUCCAAGUGGCCACCCAAUGAUAAAGGGUGCCUAGUUACUGCAAUCAAUGCAUGUGGCAUUAACAACAAUAGCUACAAUCAAUGCCAUUAAAAAACAGCAUGGACUGCCUUUGCUAUCGUAGCUAACACAAUUGGAAGAGCACCAUGAAGGUCAUUGCUAGCUUUGGCAACUGUAAUGAAGGCAACAAUAGCUGUUGGCAUCAUAAGAAAAUUAUAAGAGAGAAGUUCGUGUAGGACAGGGAAAAAACUUCAGUUUAGGAUGUCCAAGAAGCAUCACCACUAAUGUUUGACAUAUAACAUGUCCUCAAAUAUGGAGGAAUUAAUUGGGGGUUACAUGGUAAUGAAUUCUCGAGCAUUUAUGUGUGUUAGUCAUACCAUUAGAGUUUAAUUCAUUUACUUUGUUUAAUCACCCAUUUAAAUGCACCGCAUAGUCAUUGUCUAGGCAGUUGAAUGGCUGUCCAGUGCGAACUGUCUAAAUUAGUAGUCAUGGGGUAAACUAAGCAACCUCUAGGCUGUCUUAGUCUAGGUGUUGUCAAAUAAUUUCUCUAAAGUAUUUCCUAAAUCUUCUACUUCAAGCAACUUCUUAUUGCUAUUGUUCAAGGAGAUAAAAAUCACACUACUGAAUGUUAAUAAUUAAUAGAGUAUGGUUACAAAUGUGACACAUCUGAUUCCUUGAUACACUAUGAAGGUCAUCUCAUUGAAAUAGAAAACUAUAGCUUUUUUGGGUAGAAACCUGAAAAUCUUUUAAAAACCAAAUGCACAAGGUUUAAAGUAAUUGCAGCAAAAUAAGAACUUACUUUUCUUACCUUUUCUUCAGGCUGAAAGCUCAUGAUAGAGUAGUAUGAACACAUCAACCGAAAUAAGACAUCCAAAGUUCUCAACAAGCACUGACGAAAUCGAGAUUCAGGUAUUUGGAUGCAGAGGUCACUGUAAGUGAGUCUGGUAAAAGUAAACACAACUAGAUUAGAGAAACAAAGAAAAUUUUAUGUGAAUAGUACAACUUUUAUGACAUAAUUAACAUCAACAAGAAGGAAAAAAGCUUAGGGAACAGAUGAAUAUUAAAAUAUACAUUACUAAGGAUUAAGGAUGAGACAUAUAACAGUCAAAUAAUAAAACAAUUAAAUUCCAUUUAAACAAAAUUUUGCAUCAAUUACAAGUUAAAAGAUGAAAAUAUAUCAUCAAAAAGAACAUCCAACAAAGUUCUCCAACUUGAAGAAUACAGGAAAACAUAACUUGAUUUAAAAGAACAAAAGAAAGUUUGCCUUAGAAAAGAACCGAAGCAUCUGAACAUAGAUUGAGAAAAUGUAUAAAUUUAAAUUCUUAAUGAAGAGAGUAAAUGUGCAGUGUGACUGUACUGAAACUUCCAGAACUCAGAUGUUGUUUCUUUACAGAUAUGUCUAUCAACUUGCACAAUACAGGUGAACAAGUUAUUAUUUGAUAAGAAUUUCAAUUCUUUAUUGCCCAAGAAAAUUUGGUAUAAUAUUUACUACCAGGCAAUGCUUUAACAAGCUUUAAGAUACUAAACAAAACAAGGCAAAUCAGCAUGUGAACUCACACAGACAUGGUAGAAACUUUUUGCUGGUUGACAAUCAUGCAUCAAGCUUCAAGCAAACGCUAGUCGUACAUUCACUCAGAUGCAGUGUCUAUCCAUCAUAGAAUUAGCUAGAAUGGCAUAAGUCAUGAGAUACCCUUACAAUAUCAAUCUGAAAAGGGUUAGCCUAAGUGCAACGUUGCACAGGUCCCGAAGGACCUGCAAAAAGGUUGAUUAGUUUCAAAGAUGAGCAAUGGACAAGUCUCGAAUUCUCACUCAAAAACACAAAACUCAAGCAAUUUAGCAAAGAAUUGGAAUGCUAGGAGGAAACAGACUUUGGAAGGGAAAAACACAAUCACAAGCUCACAAACGAUAGCUCAACCGGGUAAUGGGGUAUUCAGCAAGCUUACACACAUUGUAUACAAGCUUGUGAAUCCAAAUAGGGCCCAUCACUAUCCCAGAGACCCAUCAAGCCUUGUGCCACCCAAGGGUUCUAGGAAAUUGAGAUGGUUGACAUUUUGGCCCCACCGCUAGCUUGAAGAAAUCAAACUGUGGCAUGCGAAAAAGGGAUUGUUUUGGCCCAUUUCAACUCUAUUCGAUGGUUGUUGUGGAGUCUAGUAGAUACUCUACACUUUAAAAAAAACCAAGGAAAAGCACACAAAGAUUAGGCAAAACACAAUGCCAAAUAAUUGCACAAGCAAACAUAAUUAAAGAGCAAUCUAUUUACGAAGGUGUUACGGGUGUGCGAUUGCGGUCUAUGACAUUCUCCCCCACUUAAUCUAUCAACAUCUUCGUUAAUGCUUGCUUGUAGGCCUUGACAAUUGCUUCUUCAUGUCGUCAAGCAUCUUCUAGCUCCUGAACAACUUAUGUUCUAGGAUGCUUUCACUACUUCACCAAGUACUCGAUCUGCUUCGUUCCGUUGGGUAACUUUGUCUUGCGAUCCACUAGAAUGACUUCAACUCACUUCUCAUAUAAUGAUCGGGUGAGGAUGGUCAAGUUGAGACAUUUCUAGAAGCAUCUUGUGAAUAUGACCGAUAGGCUUUCAAGUUAUUUGCAUGAAAUACAUUGUGAAUUUUAAGCCAUGCCGAAAGCUAUAAUUUGUAAGAGACAUUGCCUAUCCAACUAAUGAUUGGGAAGGACCCUUUGUAUUUGUGCACCAUUCCCUUUGUCCACUUUUUGCCUAAAGAACUCGAGAGAUGCUGCUUGGAGCUUCACAAGCACCAAGUCGUCAACCUUAAAUUCCGAUGAUCGUCUUUCCAAAUUUACCCACUUCUUCAUCUUUUUAGUCGUCUUCUCCAAUUAUACCUGUGAAAAAUCUAUCAUUCUUUUGCAAAGUGAUAUACUGACAAGCUACUUCCAGUAUAAUCGAUCAUCAAAGUGUGAGGAGUUGACGGUUGUUAUCCAAUAAUCAUCUCAAAGAAGCUAUUGUUUCACAUAGAGCUCCAUUGUAAGUAAUAAGAAAAUUGGGCUAUGUUUGAGAGCUUCACCCAAUCCCGUUGGAUGGCACUUACGUAGUGCCAAACGUAUUGCUCCAAGAGCUAGUUUAUUUAUUUAGUUUGGCCAUCCAUUUAAGGGUGGAGACUUGUGAAGUAUAACAUUGAUCCCAACAACUUAAACAGCUCGAUCCAAAACCAUCCCAAGAACCGGUCAUCAUGGUCACUUUUAAUGUUGUGCGGAACUCUCUAAUAUUUCAUCGCAUUCUUCAUCAUCAAUUUCACUGCCUCCUCCGCAGAGCAAUGUAGCGGUGAGCAACAAAUGUCACGUACUUCAAGAACCAAUCAACUACCACCAACAUCAACCCAUGUCCCCCUACCAUUGGCAAGCUCGAUAUGAAGCCCAAGAAAAUGCUCUCCCAUGACCACUGAUACAGGCAAGGGCUCCAAAAAAUCCAUCAGCUUCUAUUGCUCCACCUUGUUUUGCAGUGAGGCACGUGCGAACAUUUUCCUCCACAUCGAUCCCCAUUGUGGCCAAUAUAAGGACUUAUCCACAAGAGCUAAAAUUUAAUGUAUACUCGGGUGUCUCACCUAAAGGGAACCGUGAUACUCAUGAGUUCACGCCUUAAAUCAUCCACUCAUGGAACAUAUAUUCUAUUCCUUUUGGUAUAAAUGAGUCCUUCUCCGAUCCAAAGUCGUUAUGUCUGACCUUCUUUGAUCAAUUGCAUUAGGAUUAUUGCUUGGGGAUCCAUUCCUGAUCCUGAAAAGAAAGUGACCUUCGCCCUCACUUGACCUUCGCCCUCCAAUUGCACUGUAUUCACUAACUCCACCCUUCUUGUUGAAGGCAUCGACUGUGACAUUUGCUCGUUCAGGCUUGUACUCCAUUACCAUGUCAAAUACAAUUAGGAAGUCCUAUCGUCAUGCUUACUUUGGAGAGAGAUUCUUCUGAACCUAAAAGUAACUCAACACGAUAUUGUUUGUCCUUGGCACAAAUGGCGUGAAGUGCCUCUACACUCGUAAACAGUGAACCACUAUUGUGGUCUCCUUCUCGUACAUAGGAUACUUCCACUCUAUCUCACUAACCUUACGGCUCUUAUAGGCCACCGGGUGAACUUCUUGCAUAAGAACUCCUCCAAUAACGAAGUUCGAAGCAUAUAUGUGGACUUUGAAAGGUUUCCCAUAAUAUAGUAACCUGAGCACCAGUUCUUCUAACACAACUUUUAGGUCUUCGAAUGUUGCUUCAUAUUUUUCUAACCAUCGCCAAGGAUGCUCCUCCAGCAACUUCGUCAAUGGAGUUACGUGCUUCGAAUACCCCGGGAUAAAGCGCCAAUAAUAAUUGACGAAACGAAGGAUCUCAAUUCAAACACCUUCUUUGGUGUUCGCCACUCUAUCACAGCUUGGACCUUUGACUUGUCCAUUCAAAUCGAUCCUCCACCAACUCGGUGCCCUAAGAACUACCAUGCAAGGUAUAUAAUUUCGAAUAAUACCGUCCGGUACGGGCGGUACGUACCGGUCCGUCAGCUGACUAGUACACGGAUCGCCCGUUACCGGACGGAACGAUAUAUNNNNNNNNNNNNNNNNNNNNNNNNNNNNNNNNNNNNNNNNNNNNNNNNNNNNNNNNNNNNNNNACGUCGCCGAAUUUAUAUAUAUAUAUAUAUGAACGGUAUACCGCUCGGUAUACAGUAUCGUACCGAGCUAACGUCGAAACUCCGUUACGGUACGAAAUUGCAAACCUUGCUACCAUGCUCCUCUUAAGUGACCAACUUCUUGCUUGUCGUUCUAACAAUUAUCGUGCUCACCAUUCUAACUACCAAGCUCCUCUUGAGUGGCUUCAAUAGUUUAAGAGCAAAGAGCAAAUCUAACAAUUAUAAUCAUUUAGGGCUGUUGCCCCCCUUAUGCAACCUUGAUUCGCUAUGGUACUUCGUCAUGGCUAGUGCAUGAACUUCAUUAUUUCCUCAAAUUGUUUGCUCUGUUACCAGACAUCAUAGACUUAGUUGGAAUUGCCUAAGUCAUAGGUACCCUUGUGAUAUCUGUCCGUAAAGGGUCAACUAAAGUGCAACCUCGCACAGGUGUCAAAAGACAUGGAAAAAAAAAAGGUUGAUUAAUUUCAAAGAUGAGCGACGAAUAAGUCCCGAUGUCUCACUUGAUACUUGAGUAAUUCAACAAACAGUUGGAAUACAAGGUGCAGGGAGAAAACAAAGACUUUAGAAAGGAAAAAGAUAGCAGCAAAUCCACAAACAAUUGCUCAACCGGGUGUCAAGGUGUUCAACAAGCCUACGCUCAUUUUGUGUACAAGCUUGUGAAUCCAAAACUGGGCCCAACACUAUCAUAGAGCCCCAUCCAGCUCUUUGUCACCUGAGGGUUCUAAUAUGCUGAGAUGGCUGAUGUUUCCGUCUUGCCAGCUUGAAAAAAUUAGGACAUGACACACAAAAAGGGGAUUGUUUUGGCCCAAUCUACUAUGUUUGACAAGCAAUCGCGGUGCAACCUACAAGACUAUCUGGGCUUACAAAAGCUAGGAAAAACACACAAAACUAGACAAUAUAUGGUGUCAAAUAGUUGUACAAGCAAACAUAAGCAAUGAACGCAAACGCACGAUGGCAGUCCAUGAAAUAUCAGAACACUUUGAACCAAGGACAAUACCAAAUUUGUUAUCUUUUUCAGUAAUACCAAUAUGAAAAGGAGUCAAAGUCAAUAUUAAACCAAAAUUUUAAACCUUGGCUUGAAUAAUAAAGCUCAGCUUGGCAUGAAAUAAUGGAAAACAAAACCUUGAAUUAUAAAAAAGAACUAAGUGUGGCACAACUCUAAUAAGCUGAUCUUGCCAUUUCAUUCAUUCAAUAAAGUAUAUCUUGUAUAACUGGUCAAACCCAUUGAAUAGAUUUAGUAAAUAUACAUAGUAAGACAGAAUUGCUGUUUGAAGCUUGAGGGCCACAAUAUGGUAUCAAGUAAAUUUCAGUAUACAUCACAAUAAAUUAGAAUGAAUGCAGGAAUAUUUAAGAAACAUUGGUGCUUUCAUAUAAUAAUUUGUUUUGCAAAGAAUGUAUGCAGAAACUAGAAUUAUGGAUUAAAUCCAAAUUUUGCUCUACAAGACAUCUAGAGAGUUUACAUUCAGUUUUACUCGGUACAUCUAUUGACCACCUUCUCAUACAAUCCUCACUGGAUACCAAAAUCUAGCUUUCCCCACUUUGUAAUAAUCACAAAAACAAAAGAGCGAGAGACAGAAAUUUAAUGCAGCAUAUACAAGUAACAAGAAAGUAGACAGUGACAUCAUGGCUUUGCAGAGGAUAAUGCUAAAUCUGAUACCUUAUAUGCACCAACAACUCAAUAAGUAAAAGACUGCAGUAUUAUCUCCAUUAUCACUUGUAACUACAAUGUAUUUGUGCAUAGUGAUUACUUUUGACAAGGAAUUAACAGGCACAAAGUACCAGUCCAACACUGAUAAAGCAAGAAGGUUCCAGUCUUUAUGCUUUCAAUAUCUUAAAGACCACCAAGAAUAAACACCAUAUAGAUGCAGAACUCAAAAACAGAUGGACAUUAUGGGAGUAGUCGUUCCUUGAUGUCCAUCAGGAAUGAUAUUAUGCAACAAAAAGAAAAAGAAAUUUAAGCCCAAAAGACGCACCUACUCGUCUGUGUAAGAUUUCCAAUUUCCUGCCAUGUGAUAGAAGCUAAUUAGCAACUGGUGAUGGAAAGGAAAAUGAUCUUGAAAAUGGAAAAUGUUUGGGCUACCAACUAAUCCAACAGGGAAAAACAAGACGGUGAACUAACACCAGAGAAAGAUAUAGAUAACCAAUACUCCUUAAUUAAGCCGACAGUAAGUAAGAAACAAGAUAGUGAGUGCAAAAAAUUCACAGUUGCCGAAACUAACAACUAAAAGGGUAUAGAAACAAGAUGCGCAAAAAAAUCACAGUUGCUGAUACUAACAACUAAAGAAUACCCUUUCAAAUAUAGCAAGUGUUAGUCAUGUGAUAUGCCACUUUAAGAUUUAUAAUGUAGGUUAGACUUAAAAAACCAUUUUCAUAAAAGAAUAGACUAUUAGACUUAAAAAUCAUUUUCAUAAAAGAAUAGACUAAAUAGUUACAACUUUGAAAAUUCUAAAAAAAUAACAAAAAAUGUUUCACCAUUAGUGUAGAGUAGCAUGUUAAUGAGCGAGUUUAAGAUUUUUGAGACAAGAAUAUAUCUCUUGUUGUGGAACCGUACACCAUAGCUGUAUUUGCCCGAACUAUAACCUCGCUAAUUCACAUAGCAUAUAAUGAACAUAUGGACAGUAUAUAUGACUUAAAUUUAUCUACCUACUGAUAAAGUUGUAGCAUUUUGGAGCCAUGGACACACUUCCUCCAUACAAGCUAUAAAGCUAGUAUGUCACUUGGGCCAAGACAAAUGAUAUCGACCACCACAUGGGUUCAUCUAUGUCAGCUAACAUGCUUUGUAACAAGUUGAUAUUCUAAGUGUAGUUACCCUUGGCCAGCCAGUAGAACAACAAUCCUCAUAACCUAAGUAAUUUACUCAUCAAAUACCACAUGGUAGACAGGUGGUACCAUAUGGAAGUACACCCACUCAGUUCUUAACAUUAUCAGCAAGUUACCAUGCCUAGAAUUCUAAGAUCAGAUGUGGGACAUUAACCAGGUCCAGAAUCAUCUUUCACCAUGCCACUGUUUGUAUCCUCAAUGGUCUUAGUCCCUGCUUCAAAUGGAGGAUAAACACACCAAAUUUUAAUUUAACACAUGAGAAGUUAAAUAUACCAAUUCAUGAAUUUAGAAUUACCUAUCUUGUGACCAUUGAGCAUCAGGUGAACAAACACAAUAUAUUAAGUUUUAGUCCUUCAUUAUUUUCACAUAUUGGAUUAACACAUCUGUUAUGGAGAAACAAUGCAAUAAACAAAAACCUAAAUCAUUUACCAUCUACUAUCAUCCUCUAUAGACUUCCAAACCAGGGAAUACAACAAGAUUUCUCUAUAGUUGUACAAGCAGAAUUUGCAAAUUUGAUGAUGCAAACUUUUACACAAAGCAAGCAGACUUUUAGUCUCUAUAAGCUAAUCCUUCAUCUGAAAAUUUUCAAUAAUGUGGAAGGGAUACCUAAUGUUUGAAAAUACGUGAAAAGAUCCUCAUAUUACUCAAGCUAAAUCACUAGAGAUCUUAUGAUAAAGCUACGACACACAUUAAUUAUACAAAAAAACAGAAAUAUAAUUAAGCAUGUUUCAAAUAUCAAAUGAUAUGGUGCACACCAAUUGCCACAUGCUGGCCCAACCAAGAACCAGAAAUGGUUAUACACUUAUACCGAUUGGCAUUAUUUUUUCUUAUUUUUUAGGUGAAACUGAGUGGUACAAAUCAAUAUACUACAUGAUAUACUGGUACCAUAUCAAUAUGGUUGAUCACUGAAACCAGUAUCUGACUGAGAUUUAAAUUCUCAAAAUUAAGAAUAUAUUCAAACCACCAAAUUAAUCAUAGAGCAUAUAGAAUGAUGAUAAAAAGAGAAAUUAUUUCCUAGAAUUGUAGCAUUUCUUUAUAUGAUCAAAUGUUGGGUGCCCAAGAAACUGUUAAAAUGGCAAAAGAUUACAAGCCAUUUAUGAAUGUUAAUGUCACUUGAUGACUUAACAGAAAAUUUUAGUUCUCUAUAAAUGUAAGAAAUAGGAAAGACAAUCAAAAGUAUUCAAAAGCAUUUUAUGUAUAAAUAAUUUAAAGAAAAAGCAAAAUGCAUAAAAAACUGUUGCCAGCAGCAAGCUCCAGAGAGCAUUAAUCAUGCAAUAACACAGAAAAUAUUAGUAUUUGUAAUUUUGUAUAUCCUAGAAAAGCAAGAUAUUGAAUUUUACAUAAUUAGGAGUCUAGGACUACACUUAUCUGCAUUUGAUAUAAUGAGUCAAAUGUUUAUUGAAAUUACAACAUUGAAAAAUAUGGAUUGCUUCUGUCAUGUAAUAUAUACAAAGAUAUAUUAUAGUUCAAUAACCAAAGUGGAAAGAAAGGCUUGGAAAACAUGAUAAAUUGAAACUAGAUUACCUCAUACACCAUAGCUUUCAACACAGAAUGUGUUUGAGAUAGAACUUCUUGCAUAAAGAAACUCUGAAUUUUCUCAGCAAGACCAGUGACAUCUCCCAUCAAGGCAUAGGCAUCAAUUGCCUACAGAAUAUUAAACUCUUAGGAUUUGUGGAAAACCAAAUAAAGCCUAAACAAACAAACAAAAACCCACUUGGUAGGCCAUAAAUUUGAGAUAAAUACAAGUAAAAUAGUUGUGAUACUAUAAGACCACCAAAAGGAGACUUUUCUUUGGUAAGUAUAAAAAGUCAAAAAGGAAUCUAGCACAAGUUCAUGCAGAAAACUCAACAUCACUAAUAACAAAAGGAUUUAAGCUUUUGACAAUUAUAGAUCAUGACCAUUGCUAGAGUAAGAAGAGAAAGAAAGAUAAUUAUUGAUGCAUUAUGGGGCACGAAAAUGGCUUGCAACAACAUAUAGAAACUAGCAAAGAUGUCAAUUAUUAAUAAUGUGAAGUUAUGGUAAAGCAUCAAGGUCAGCAUAUAUAUACAUAUAUAUAUAGUUGGCUGGAUUGUACAUAUCUGAUGUAGCAGGGUUGUGUGUAUAUAUAUAUAAUUCUAAUUAUUCUCUCAAUUUUUUUAUUUUCUGAAACAAUUUUCUCUCUAACAUUUUAUUGCUGCUUAUAUAUGCCAAUUCACUAUGUUGCUACAACAUGGAGCAACAUAAAUAAUUAAAGAAACAGUGUACUUAGGUUUGGUUAGAAAGUCACAUGUAAUAUAAUUCUUCUAACAGAAAAGAGUAACUGAUGUUCAAAAGUAGGAUAUAUGACUAAAUGAUGAUACCAGUGUUACAAGUGUUACUUGUAUUUUCUUGUUUUACAAGGGAUAAUCUGUAAAAGAACUUGUAGCAAAUGCAAAGAUACAUAGCUGAGCUGCUGGAAUAAAAAAAUCCCAAAGUAGCAAUUAAACAAAAAAAUGAUGAACUUUGCUAUCAACAGAUGAGGAUACUAACAACUAUGUAGCUUUCCUCCUCAAAUGUCUUGCAAACACCUAGUAAAUGUGAAUCUAGCUUUUGAAUUGUCCUUGCUAGCCAGGCCUGCAGAAAUGGUAGGAUUGAUAUGCCAAAUUAGCACAACAUCAAUAAAAAGAAGUAACAAGUUCUUAUAGAAGUAGAACUCCAUUACUACCAGAAUUUGAGACUAAAAAGGAGACCAUGUUCUGUAAAGCUGUACUGUUAAUGUUUCCAAAAUAUCAAUUGAUUUUAAAAUAUGAAAGGGUAAACAUAAUUAACCAGAUCAUCUCUUGCAAUCUUUUUUGGCUUCCUACUCCUAAGCAUACAUAAUACUUAUUAGCUUGUUACGAAAUCACAAAUGUGAAGUCUCUAUCCACAAAGGAAGUUGACUCCAAUUUCUGACAUCGCAAAAGGAUCUACCAUGGCAGUAUGGUGGUACUUUGAUGUUACAUGUCUGCUUCCAAAUAAAUAUCUAAUGUUCUUAACAUCCUCCCUUUAGUUAGUAGAUGUUUAAUCACUAUGCUGAAAGACCAAGGGAAGUGCUUCUCAAACUUAUCGUUUGUCAUGACUUAUUUUCAUAAGUUACCAAAGAAUUUCUUUUGUUGCAAAAUUUUAAAUCUGUACUAUUCAGAAAAGCCAAUUCCAUGUUUGUUACUACCACCCAGAUUCUUCUUUCAUGUCAGUGAAAUGAAUUAAUCAAUUCUUCUUCACAUUGACCAAGCAUUGAAUUCUUUUGAGCCCCUAUCCCAAAAGAAAAAGAACUGGCAAAACAGUUUAUCCAACAAGUCAAAUGAGGAAUUUGUUUAUAAGCUUCUUGCUGAAGAAAACUGACCUCUAUUCCACGACCCAUCUCUUGAAUAACAGAAAGCUGUGCAUAAUUAUCUAAAACUUGCAAAUACUCCGGUAACAACUGAAACGCCUGUAACAGGACAUUGGCCAGAAUUAGAAAAAGCCCACCAAAAGUACCACAGUGGAAAACAUGGAUUUUCCAAACAACCUGGCAGUAUUUUCCAUUUUCAACAAGAGUCUCAAGCUCCAUUUGGAUGUCUAAUGAAUGACGAAGUUCUGUAAGAAUUGGAAGCAUGUCCUGCCACAUGUACGAAACCAAGGAUUGCUUAGUUAUACACACAAUGUUAAGCAAACUGAAACUUUAUCUAAAAUUGAUCAGAAUACCAGUUCUCAAAAGAUUAUUUUAAUGUAUUUGGUUAAACUAAAUGGAUAAACAAUUUUCAUUGGCUACUCUAUUUAGACAAAAAAGAGAGAAAUGUCAAGGGAGAAUACAGCAACAUUUUCUUUACAAAGUAGCAUAAUUUCAGACACUGAAACAGACUAAAAAUUAAAUCUGAGAAUAACUCCAAGCAUAUCUACAAAUGGGCACAUGACACACUCGUUUGAGACCCAGGCACUGCCAGUGAGGGUCAUCAGUUUUGACUUAAAGACAGAUAUUUUUUUGGCAUGACCAGUAGGCAGAUAAAUGAAAUCAGAGAGGACUUGCAUGGCCAUAUCUCCAUUUGAGCAUCAGGCAAUUGACUACUCCACUUGGUUGUGUGGUCCACAGUCAGAACUUACACCACAACAAAAGAAAACAUUUUGAUGUGUUGAUCCACCAACAUAAUGUAUAGCUUGUAAGGAUCCAAUGGAUAAAUAGCAACAGAUUUGAACAGAAAAAAAAAUGGUUGGCCAACAAACAGUAUCUUAAAAUGACACACAAUAAGAAUAUAGGUUACAUGACCAGCAAGGAAUGUUUCUUCCCCAAGUUACAAUCAGUCAAGGUUUGCAAUACCAUCCUGUACAGAACAUUAUGGGUGAAACUUAACAGUCUGAUAGAUACUCGGACCAAGAUAAUCCAGAGGGUAUGCCCAGUAGAAAAAAGGUGCAGGUGAGUUUUUUUUUUUUUAACUUUUUCGGGAACUUGGUAUAUCCCAAUGUACCGACACUUAGUGCACAGGCAUCAAUAAGGGACCUGUUCGAGCCAUGACCAGUACAAUCCUGGUAUACAAAAUUGCAAACCUUGCAAUGACUUAUGCUCAUCUAACUUUAAAGUGCAUAAGAUAUAAUUAGAAAAUUUCUAAAGAAAAAUGUGACUUGAGGCAUGCUUUGAAGAAUUAGGGGAGUUAUGUAUGGUGGAAAUACCGAUAGAUAAUUGGAAUGCAAAGAUUCUAAAACUAGCCUUAAGAAGUCCAACAUACAUAGUUUCCAACAUACUAAAAUCAAUUAUAAAAAUCAACUAAACAUAUCAUGAAACAGAUGUGACCAGUAAAAUCAAUUAUAAAAAUAUUCUAAAAUCAAUUAUAAAAAUCAGCUAAAAUCAAUUAUAAAAAUCAAUUAAAAUCAAGAUAGGAGAUGUGAUCAGCAACAAAAAGAAAUUACAUCUUCUAGGACUGUAGCUCUAAUCAUGAUGGUGAAGCUUUAUCAACAAGCUCAACAAACAUAUCACGGAAAUUAUCAGUUUUGAUUUUGUUCAAGGGUAGGAGAAUUUCAAACAAUUGAUACUUGUAUCCAAGGAUUAAAGUUUCAAGCUGUAUCAGUUGGUGGUAUAACUUCUCUUAUGGAUAUCAAUGCCCAAACCACAGAUACCAUAUGUGCUAACUUUUCCUGCUUUUCAAAGAAAUGGAAACAGAUGCAUGAUAAAUAAACAAAGUAGCUUAUUACAUCCCAUUUAUAUGUUUGCACCCUCUACAAUCUCAAGCCCCAAGUCCUCCUUCCUGAACCCAAGCCUGAAGCUAUGAGAAAGAUUGUUGAAUUUCCAACCUCACUCAUCCAAGUCCUUUACAACUCAUCAGAGAAUAGAAAGCAGUGAAUGAUUUCUUAAUAUGAUUUUCCUCUCUUUUAACUGAAGUUUUUCCACAGAACAAGAAAAAUUCUUGGUUUUUUUUUUCAUUUUUUCCUAUUUUCCUCCAUAUCCAUGGAAGUUGGUUAAUAACAGAUGCCACAAAUGUAAAUUAAAACUAAAACUUGUGAUGCCAAAUGAUCCAAAUAGUUCUUGUGGAAAAUAAUAUAAAAAUGGAAUACAAUUCAAAUAAGCCAAAAGUUCCAAGCAAAACAAAAAAAUAGUAUGUCUUUGUUAGUGAGCGACAACUAUGCCAACAAAAGUUUGUAGGAGGAGCAACUUAUGCUGAGAUCAGAUACCAGUAAAGCUUGUUUCUUUCUUGACUUUUUAUUGACUACAAGAUCCCUUGAGACUUCAUUUAUUGAUGAGGUCAAGUGCCUUCGCCCAUUCUGUAAGAUUGAGCAAUCAGGUAAUCAUGAUGAUUAAUAUUUUAGAGGAUCAAAACAGUGAAAAAGCUACUGAAAGAAGUAACAAUUUGUUUAAUUUAUAAAGUUACCAUGCAGAUGACAUUUGCCACUUUUAAAUCUUGCUCCAGCUCCAUCACUAAUUGCAUCCCCUUCACUGACCAAAGAAGCAUCAAAAAGUUCAAACUUGAACAGCAAUACUAUGUUAUGGUGAAAUAAUUAUCAUUCUAAGCCAAUACCCAAUAACAAAUGAAAAGAAUGACAACAAUUGAAAGCAUGAUAUAGGUCACAGUUAUGUUUCAACCAAUAAUUAAAAAGAAGCGCAAAGAUUGAAAACACAAUUGAGAACAGUGAUUUAAAAAGCGCUAGGCGCCAAAAGACACCAGAGUCCAAAAAUGCUCGAGGCGCUAGGCGCUCGCCCGAGCAAAGCGAGGCGCUAAAAUAUAAAAAUAUAUAAUAUAAUUAAUAUAAUUAUUUAAAUAAAAAAUAUGUUAUUAAAUUAAGAAAAUCGAGUACAAAAUCACAAUGUCAUAUUAAUAAAAAGUCUCAAAAAUCAAAACAAUAAAAUUUUACAUCAAAUCUUUUGAGUUGCUCUAUACACUUGCCAUUUAUUUUAAAACCUAACAAUAAUUUUAAAUAAAUAAAAAUUAAUAAUAUUAAAAUUAAAAUAAUAUAUUAUUAAUCUAAUAAAUAAAAAUACUAUUAUUAGUAUACAGUUAGCAGUAUACUGUUAAUAUACUGUUAACAGUAUAGUGAGAAGAGUGUGAGAAGACCGAGGCUGCUAAGGCAACGACAGUGGUAGCGGGAGCGGGAGCGGCUAGCGAUAGUGGGAGUGGGAGCGAGAGCGGGAGCUGCGAGCAGCAGUGGGAGUGGGAGUGGGAGCUGCGAGCGGCGAGCGACGACAACAGCGAUGAGCGACGAUUGUGGCAGCGGCGAGUAGCGACAAUGGCAGCGACAGCGGCAGCAGAGAGCAACGACAACGGAGAAGAAAUCUCGACGGCAAAAUCGCGAGUGUUAGGGUUGGGGAAGUCGGGGAAAUCGUGAGAGGGAGCCUAUCGGUGAUUUAGUUGGUUCGAUUGAUCCAACUAAAGCACCGGAGACCGAACCAGACGUAAAACACUAGUUCGGUCGCCUAGUUUAACCCGGGCGCUCGCCCGAAGCGCCCGACGCCUGGGCUCGGGCGAGCGCCUAGGCGGUGCCUUGUUGAAGCGAGGCGCUUGGACAUGAAGCGAGGCGCUCGGGCCUCGCCUUGCCUCGCUCGAGCGCCUAGGCGAGCGCCCGAGCGCCUAUUGAAUAACUCUUCAUUUUUUUAGGUGCUGCUUGAGUUAUUAUUCACUUCCAAAAGAGCAUGGUGAUUUGUGCGAAAUCAUGAAAUAAGAAAAUUCCUUGACAGUUUUCUGCACUGCCCUCUCUACUUUUCCUAGGAACAAAUUGAGCCUCAAAAAACUUUAGGCUUUACUUAACACUGAAUUUGUGAGACCAAGGAAUUUGGAGGUCUAAAAGCUUGAACCCUGUAAACUUCAGUCAUGAACUUCUUAAUAAAUGAUGGUAGAAAGGCUCCAGAAUAUAGAAUGGCACUACACGGAAUUACAUAGAACAAGUGCCUAAUUUUAAAGAAGUCUCUGUAAGAAAUAAAAAAUGUGGUUUCGUUUAGACCAUAUCUACUCCAUGAAGAAGCUUUUCAAAAUGAAAAUGUGUUGGAAGGUAGUAGUCGAUUUUAAAACACCCCUAAAGAUAUCCAAGUCAUUUUCCAUCUGCAUGUGAUCACUCAUAAGGAAGUACUGAUUGUAAAAACUCCAAAGAAAUCAGUCUCAGGGACAACACAACUUUUCUCCAUUUAAUUAUAUCUUAGAAAUUUUCCGAAGGACCAAGAAUCUUCUUUUUUUUUAAUAACUUUCAACAAAAACCAAGGUCAUCAAUCUCGUGACAAAGGUCCAAAGAUAUAAAUGACCAUGGAAUCUUCAACAUUACCUUGAUCCUUUUGAGAACACCAUCUCACUCUUUUGCUAGAGCCAUGAUGAUAGAACUUAGGUAUCUUGUGGUCAGUGAUCAAUUAUAGACUUCACAAUGACAUUUCUUAUGAAGUUUGGAAAAAAUUCCAGAACUACAGUCUAGACAAUGUAGCUUCCAUAGCAUCAAGUCACCUUCUUAUCCAUCACAUCUAUGCCAACUCCAUCUGGCUAGCUAUUAAAGAAGAGUUACUUAAAACAAACAGAUUGACAUACCAGUAUAAAAUUGUGAAUAUACCUUAAACCAGGUUUUGAGUUACAACGUAUGUUUGCACAGGACAUGUGCCGCAAGUCUGUGGAAUCAGUGUGCACAACGACACCUGAUGAGGUUAGAAUGAUCCUUCUUGUUACUAAUUGAAAUAUUUGGUAAGAAAAAGAAAAGAGGGAUCUUCAGACCAAGAUAUACACGCAUGUUAAGUUAACGCUUGACUCGAAGUACAGAGGCUUUGUAUUCAGUCACCCAACUUGCCUAUAUUGCAUAUGCAAGCUACUUCUGUAGUCACAUUGACAGCAUUCUCAGGACAUAAAUGCAAAUUUGGAAAUACCAAAGCAUCUAUAUGCAAAGCAUUCCUUGAUUAUGAAAAUAUUAUUUAAAAAACCCAAUGUCCCUUGUUUUGUGAGGGCAUAACAAAACAACUUUCAUGAUCAGGGGGUCAAUAAUGUGCUUGCAAUAUUUCAUGUAACUAAUAGAAAAGUAUGGUUUGUGGUGUAUGUUGAAGGAAACCAAGAAUUUUAAAAACUGAUUGUAAAUAUCAGUAUGGACCACUAUUUACCGGUCUAAUGGUCAACCAGCAUGCAGACUAGGCAAUUUCACCUGGUCCAAUUCGAUAUAUGUCGUUUGCCUCAUAAGAUUACCUUAUCAUGCGUAUCAUCCAGUAAAGUAACUGGUACCAAGAUGUACCAAGAAAGGUUUUCAAUUUAGAGAACUGAACCCAUGACGGUCGUUGACUGGAGUGAAAUGGGUCUAGCCCAUUCUAGCGUACCGAGACACAGUAUGCCAGAACAGUACCACAGUAUAGAGAAGGUAGGAGGGGAGGAAAGGGGGAGGAGAUGAUGAGGAGGAAAAAGAUGUGGCGGCGAAGGAGGAAAAGAGGAGGAAAGGCAGCAGCAGAGAAGAAGAGAAGUGAAGGAGGCUUAUCCUCCUUCUUACUUCCCCUCGUAUUACUCCGUUUUCUCAUCCUCCUCCUCCUCACCCUCUGCAUGUGCAUCUGCCUCUGCAUCCUUGUUCUUCUCUUUCUCAACAGUGUUGUUGCUUCUCGUCUGCAUUGCUACCUCCUUCCCAUUGUAGCCACCUUCUCCCUACCAUCGAUGCCUCCACCCAAUGCAUAGCUCUCUCUUUGUCUGCUUGUAGUUCGAUCCGUAUCGACAUUUGGCAUCCUAUAUGGUAACGAUGCUAUACCAAUCCAACUAGAGUACCAGUAUCAAAUCAAGAUUUAACCCUUGGUUCUAAUGCAUGUGUCCACCAUAAGACCUAAAAGGAAAUAAGCUUAUUUAUUCAAAUUAUAGUGUGGCUACAAUGCAAUACAUCACAUAUCCUUUGAACUUUAUAAAGAAAGCUCACUACAAAGACAAAGACAUUCAGUUGAGUGGCUCUGUAUUUUAUUAGAAAAAGGCUCAUUGUUACUGUUGCUUGUUAGCCAUGUGCUCAGGAUCAGUUUAUCUUUUGAAGAAAUAUGUUAAAUUCUUUUUUUUCAAAAUAUCAUCAAUUAUCUUUGGCACCAAUGGACUCAAUACCGCUCAGACCAGUUCAUAAUGACUGGUACCCACCUGUCUGGGCAUGAACCAUAUGUGCACCACCCCUUUACAGAUGUUUCAGUCCAUUUUUCCUUUUGAAGACCUUGCAUUUAUGGCAGAUGACAAAAAACCUCUUCUCAUGCAUCACACUCAAGGGCCGCUUGCUACACCACCCCUCACCCACUGCCACCCGCCAUUACCUGACACAUCUUCUCCUCCUCCUCGCCCAUCCCUUCUCUCUCUUCUCCUCCUCCAUCUCCUCCUUUGCCUCCUCUCCUCCUUUCUUUCUCUUUCCCCCUUCCUCCUCCUCCUUUCCUUCUUCUCCUCCAUCUCUUCUGCCUCCUCUCCUUCUUCCUUCUUCCUCUUUCCCCCUUCCUCGUCCUAUCCCCCUCCCACGUGCUGUUGGGGACCCUCUCCACCUUCAACCGGCAAACAGACCAGGGUACCAUGUAUUGGUCCAGCCAUGGACUGGUAUCAGUCCACUACUCGAAAUUGAAUUCCCUGUUCUGCACAAGUUCAUUGUAAAAUUAUUAUUCCCCAUAUGUGUUCCAAUGGAUCCAAGGGACAUGUCAAAGCUUGUCCGUUGGACAUUGUUUGCAAUACCUAUCAACUUUUACAUUGCAUUGCUUGAGAAAAGAAUUGUUUGGUUUCACAAGAGGAAGUUUCUAUCAGAGGAAUCCUCAAAGAUCGUAGUUGUUUGGUUCUGCAAAUAUGAAAUUCAACUUUAGGUUUUAGUGUUAUAUCUAUAAAUAGAACUCUCGUACAAGAUGUAAUCUAAACCUGAUUCUGAAAUGAUUCCGAUGAACACAAAAGCCAAUGUAGCUGCCUAAUAAGUAAUACGACUGCCAAUAUCCUGGCCCAGUAUUAAAGAUACCCAUCAUUAAUUUUCCAGAAAGAAUUUCAACUGUACAAUAUAGAUUAUUAUUCAUAUCAGUAAUUGUGAAAUUUUGCUUCGGAUAUUUAUUUCUAUGAAAAUAAAAGAAUUUAUCACAGUUAAGAAAUCAAAUGGACAAAUCAAAAGAUAAUCAAACAAUAUAAACAAAAUUGGACAGUCUCUUAUGACAGACAGUACCCUUAAAUAUUAUAUAUUUCAGACAAGUAUAAUAAAAAGCACCAUUUUAAAAUAUCUGGCAAAUUUCCUUAAAUACAUAUAUAAGUUCAAGCAAAGACCAGCAUACUUUUUUAUCCUAAUUUACAGAUAAGAAACAUACCCAUCUCUUCAUGGUGCUCCAUCACAUGACGUGAUAAUCGCUCUGCUAUCUUAUCAAGUUGUGCCAAUCUAAGAGUGGACUGUGGUGUUGGCAAGAGAAAAAAGUGAGCUCCAGUCAGGAAAGCAGUCAUAAAAAUGUUCACAAAACAAAAUUGACGAACACUUUGUGCUAGGAAACACAUACUGAAAGGAAAUGCAUUCAGAAAAUAUAAGAGAAAUGAAAAUGAGCAUGGCAAAGCAGAAUCCAGUGACUUCUGUAGAGCUUAGAUAAUGAUAUUAUCAUAACUAAACAGAUUUGUGAAACUUACAGGGCUGUCAGUAUUGGCCUAGAAACAUAUAACAAAAGAUAAUAGAGAGAGAUCCAAUCUAGAAACCGGAAGUACACAAAAAUUCACAAAGAGCAAUGCAAGAUUAACAUGGUGAGUGGCAUCAUGAACUAACCAGCAAGUAUAAUAGUAACUUGACAAAUAUCUUUGGCAUAUAACAAAUAUGAAAAUCAAGCCUACUUAGUCUGUCAUCUGACCUUUUUAUCAAAGUAUGUAGAAUCGCUUUCUUCAGAUGGAACAUUUUCUAGUACAUACCUAACUGGAUCAAAAUCCUGCAAGAAACAUCAUCAAGCCGACUUCUUUAUUUGUCAUGAAAACAUAACUAGGAAGGAAACACUUGUGCAAGGAAUAAAUGACACCACCAGAAGUAAUAAAAUUAUUUAAAAAAUGCAGACAGUCACGGGAAAACAUCAUGAGUGAAACAAAUGCAUGGCCAUAUGCCAUUAGAAGAAUACAGCUUGAAGCAAAGAGAUUUAUCUAUAGAGGUGAAAUUAAAUGCUUAAGGUGGCCUAGUGUAUGAAGCUUCUGCUAUGCAUCGAACCACCAUAACAUGAACACACAAAAAGAGAGAGUAAUUCAUACAAUCAACACUAUUGCAAUAUAUAUUUGAACAAAUCAAUGAAUAAAUCACCAAUUUUGUGUGGGUCAAUAGUUAAAAAACAGCAUUGUUGCCUUGUACGUUAAUGGUCACUAAUUUUGAGCUUUUUGUAUGAGAGUAUUCGGUGCUGAUGCAGGAGAUAUUUUGUUCUAUUUUGUAUUUGGAAAGCUUUACGGGGAUUCUUGCAAAUGUUAUAAGUUGCCACAUGGCAACAUAUUAUGUGUGUCUAGUUAUCUGCCUAGAUUGCUCAGGGGAAAUAAAAGAGACCAAACUAAAAUGAAACAAGUCACCAAAAACAAAAGGAUUUUGAUGGAUAAUAUGUGCAAAGAUGGAAAUUGAUUAUGAUCGAAUAUUUUGUACAAGGGAAAGAUUGUAUGUCAAAAAAUUUGGAAGUAGAUCUCACCCACAAAAAGAAAGGUAGGUGACUCAUUAGACUUAUCAUAAGGAAUAAGAUUUUCAUGAUUGUACUUCAUUAGUUCUUUAGCCUUCUUUCUUUUCCUGUACUGGGGGAUCCAUAUGAAGGGGAAAAGGCUAUAAUCAAGAGGUGUGAAUAAGUAAUUUUCUAUUACAACAUUAUAUGCAAAGAGAUGUGAAGUCUUCACCACUAGGAGUGAUUCCUAGAGCUAGAGCGAACCUGACAUUAAUUUCUAUCAUCCAUGCAUGAGGAGCAUCUGAUGUGAGACAAAGAUCAAUGGAUGUGGACAUUCAGUAAUCAAAGUGAAUUCGAGUACUCUUUUCUCCACUCAUUUUUUCUCUUUUAAUUUUAUCAAUCCUACAAAUAAUAAGAAAAAAAAAUUCACUGUUCUCCAUGCUCAUCCUACAUUAUUGAUGGCUAAAAUGUCAUUAAAAAGAGCAAAACAAUAAAAUCUUGUAAAGGCCUAUUGAGGAACCUUAGAAAACUAUCAAGAAAAUGUUAUUUGGUUUGUCAGUUACAAGUAGACCAUGCAUGCUUCAGGAAUUAGUGCUUUUGAAGAUCUUACUUUGUCCCUUCAGAGUUUGUCUUUAUAAUGUAGUUCUCUUUUGUAGUUACUAUUUAGCUUCUCUCUUUCUCUUUUCUUCUAUCAUUCCUUUUUAUUUUGUGUAAACCUUGGAGUUUUUGUUGCUUUGCCUUCAAAAAGUUUUACAAAGUUACUUCUUUCUCUCAUUGUAUCCGCUAAUUUUAUGAAAUGUUAUAUUGUAAGCAACAAUUGAGGCUCUAAGUGGCAAAAAAAAUACCUGGAUCAAGCCAAGCAUUACCCAGGAAAGAAUACAGUCGACUUGGGCAAAUUUGGGCAACACCCCAGAUUAGCCUACCUUAAAAGGCCCAAUCCCUGCUUGACUUACUCUUUGGGCCGGGCUAGCCCAAUAAGACAAGGAAGUGAUUGCCAAAAGAAUUUGAAACAAGAAACAUAAAAAAUAUAGUUUACAAUCACAUCAUGCUAUUAAUAAAGUUCUUAGCAUUUUCAUCAUGUUUUUACAUAAAACUCAAGAUUUAACAAAAGGUCAGACUGGUGUGCACCAAGGGUAUUUACCAAUCCAAUCAAGAGCCAGCAACCAGACCAAAUAAUUUUGCCCUGUCCCAUUAAAAGUUAGUUCUUUUAAUGUGGAGAGCUAAUGACAACUAUCAACAAGUAUUGACAAUCAACAGCCCUUGACAGCAGGGUUGUUGACUGUCAACAGCCCUCAUCUUCCCAUCCUCAUCCUCCUCUCCUUCUCCUCCUCUCCUUCUUCUCCUCUAAUUCAACGAUAAGCAUUAAACAAAAAUUAGUUAGUAGUGACUGUUUCAAUAUAUUAACCAGUGAUGACAAUUUCUAACAUGUGGCACACUGAUCUAUUGUGAUGAGAGAAACAAGCUAUACCAGGAUCCAAGAGCUUACCAAGAUUCAGUUCAUGUAUCAAGUAACUGGGCUAGGACCCAUUUCCGUGAUUUGCCUAAAAGGCUAAAACUAUGAUAAAUUUGUAAGAAUCAUAAAUCAGAAUGUCAAUCAUUCUUAUUACUUACUAUUAUAGUCAAACUAUGCAAAUGUUAUUGUUAAUUAAAAGACUGAAUGUAUCAUCCCAAGGAUGAACAUAAAUAUGAAGGGCAUGCUCAAUUAAAAUGUUUGUAUAUGACUCAUAAGCAAGGUAGACGUAACAUCUACUUGAAAUUAAGCAAUCAUUUUGUGUCUUGCUUUUGCUUCCUAGUGCUUCCAUAUAGCCCACAACCAUAAAAUCUAUUAGAAGACCUAUGUCAAGAAAUAUACAUCCACCAUAGUUUUAAAAGUAAUCACUAUACCAAGGACCACCAUACCCCAUGGUCUGUUACGUUCCGGUCAAUAUUACUGUACCAUAUGUCAGUAUGUUGGUACAUAUCUUUCAGAAAAAGAUGAAAAAUGAUUGGAAAUUUACAAAAAUCUUUUUAUAGGUUUUUAUCAUAAUUUUAUUAUAUUUAAUUAAGAAUAGAGUGUAUAUAAGCCAUAAAUAAAUGGCUAAGACUGUAAUUAACCCCAAAUACCCUCAAUUAGGGACUAACACAAGAUAACGACCUUAAUCAUGUUUAGUCAUUGUAAAUAUGCAUUAAUACGCCUCUAAUUAUAUGAAAUGAGCGAAGGAAUGACCUUAAUACGACUCUAAUGACCUUAAUCAUAUCGGUACUCAUGCAAGCUAUGCAUGCAAGCAAACAAAUGCCUUACAGCCGUCUCUCGUCGAGAGUAAAGGUUCUUGAACCGCAGAGCUACGGGGUGUUCGGAUGCCAAAGAGUUAAAAAACUUCUCUUUGAUAUGGUUCAGUACUUAGGACAACCCAACCCCGAUCAGAAGAUUUCAAGGUGUCGUUAGUGAGAUGCAUCUCAUUGGUCAUGCAAGACUAUGGUGGUGCUGGUGCAUACGUUGGGAAGAAAUGCAGUAAGUGCUCAUCAAAGAAAGGCUCUCUAAAAGCUUCCAGAUGGAAUGACCCGAAGAAGAAAAGUGCUUCAACGGGACACGAAUCCAAAAGCAACAUCCCGAAGUUCGACAAAUGUUUUAUGAGCGAUAGACAACAUCUAAUGUUGUAAUGCCCACAGCAAAAAGAGGCAUUAAAUGCCCUUAUGGCUUCUUUCCAAUGAAAGGAGAAGGGUAGAGCAAAGGCGAAAUAUCCCGGGUGAAGCAAGUCGUGUUCAAGAAGCAACGUCUUGUCACCAAGACCUCACAUGGGAGAUAUGUGUUUGCAAAACACAUUGCAAGGUGAAGUCAAGGAGAAGCUUGAGUGAAGGCCAAAGAAGAAGGUGACCCUUCAAGCGUGAAUUUGUCGGAAUCGAGCAAUGAUGAAGGAUCAUCGCAAUGAUCUCACAUUAGGGUGGUGCAAUUGCUAAAUACAUUACAAGGUCAAGUGGGGGAGUAGUCAAAGGAGAUGAAGGCACAUAACCUAUUAAUGUUCGUGAACAUUAAACUAAACAGGAAGGCGGCUCACACAUCUAUGGACACAAAAGUCGCACACUUCAUAAUAAACUAAGAAGCAAAGUGACUCGGAUUGAAGCUGGCAAAGAGUCCAAGACGCAAGAAAGCAGUUAAUUCGAAGGCGAAACCUAUUUAUGGAUUUGCAAAGGGAGUCAACAUCUAGAUUGAAAAUUGGAGCAAGAGAACCAACUUCAUGGCACUUCCCUUGGACGAUUUCCAAGUCAUUCUCAUGGUGGAGUUUUUAUAUGUAGGGAAGUCACUAGGUGCACACCAAGCGCCCGGGUGAGGCAAGGCAAGGCAUAAGCGCCUCGAUAGUGGGCUGGGUGGGCGCCUUUAACUGGGCACGACCCAAGCAAAUGCCUAAGCCACCGAGCGCUUGGGCCUCCCCACUAUGCCUCCCCAGACCCGGACAACCCCCUCUCCCUCUUCCUACCCAAUCCCUCCUCCCUCUUCUCCUUCUCUUUGCUUCUUCCUCCACUCUUCCCCUCUCGUUAUCCCCUCCCUCUCCUUUGUCAUCGUCCCCCUCCCUCCUCCUAGAUAUGUCCUUCUCAACCAACAACACCCUCUCUCUCCUCCUACUACUUGAUUCCUCCUCCCUCUUCUUCCCCUCUCCUUCUUAUUGUUCACUCCCUUUUUCUCCUCUGCAAUUGCCCCCUCUUCCAUGAUAGCUCCCCUCUCCCCAGACCUCGACAACCUCAGCUAUGCAAAUGAUAAAGGAAUCGAGGCAAAAAGACCCUACUCAUCCCACAACGAUGCAAGUAGAGUCAGAAGGCCUCAGCGCAGGGCAAGGGUCCAUUGAGACAGAAGUUCUUGAAGAGUAUGUCGGUGUGUCAACUACUCGGUUCCCAAAGCCCUUUCCACGAGGGUGCAAGUUUGAAUGGCAGUUCAAACUCAGUAAAGGUGUCAUCUAGCUUAGCUGGUAAAGACUUUGACAGUAUAUCACAAGGUCCAGGGCUCGAAUCCCGCCUUCGUCAUUUACCCUUUACAAAAAAAACUCAGUAAAAGAGUCGAAGAUCCAAUCUACCAUUCACAUCGGGCAUCAUUUAUGAAGUAGGAGAAUCUUCAAAACCUUUCGAACAAGUAGUUGGACGAUGGAGUGCUCCAGGACUUAUCUUCACUUAUGGGUAUCCCAGUGCUUUCGAGGGGCAAGAUCGGACGAGCGAUCGUCAAUGCCAAACAAACAACCUAAGAAUCAAAGUUGGGAGGAACCUUCAACAAGCAAAUGCUGGUGACCACACUGAAAAGUUUUAGUCUGAAGGAUAAAAAAUCAAAAAGGAAAUGUGUCCCAAGUCACAUAGUCAAGACACUGUGACGACCUCGAGUCCACAAGGGACUCAACUACCCAAGAAGAACUUAGUCGAGAAAGCAUAAACUAAAGGUCAUAUGGUACUGCAACAAUGGGUCUUUCGAGCACUAACCAAACUUGUGCUCAAGAGGGAAGAGCACAGUUUUGACUGCUAAUAGGGCAUAAUCGAUCCCAAAGGCAAAUCUAUCAUACAAGUGCUCCAACAACACUUCCGACACUCCAAAAGUGUGAUGGUGAAGAGUGGGCGAAGUCAAGUAACUAGCUCGAAGCAAGGAGAACAACCCAAGGAAUUUGGGUGAAUCCAAUCAAAAGUAACCCAACUCUCCUCGCUUAUGUAGUGGAGCUAUGCAUCAAUUGAAAGUCCCCUUAAAGUGCUUAGAAGCUAAUAACCAUCAACUCUUCACCUUUGAGUGAUCGGCUACAUCGAAGGUAGCAUGUCCAUGCACUAUCCUCCCAUUGAGUUACCUUAGAAACGAGGAUAGCACGAACCUACUUGAAGGAGAUAAUGAAGGUUCUGAAGAUGCAAGGGGCAAUCUUCGCAGGAGAAGGCCAUUGAGUCUUUAAGUUCUGCAAUAUAGCAUUGGCAAAGUUCCAACCAGCAACAGUCAAGCUCUUGCACGAUAACACCUCAACGGGGCUUAAACAUAAACAUAAAGACCCUUCUCUUGCUGACCAACAGAUCCUAGGGAUUCAACAAGAACUGUUCCGACUCAACCAACUUCCCCAACUGAACCAACUCAAUGGGGAGUUACGACAAAGUGGGAGGAUCAAAGUCGAUGACUCAACAGCCAUGAAGCAAUGCAAUCAAGGUGUUCGACAUAUGUCCAUGACGAUUUUCAAUUCUUGUUUUACAUUGUUUUUCGGUGUGUUUGAGUGUUUUAUCAUAGGCAACAUGUAACAGGUAAAAAAUACAAUCGUCGGUUCCAUCUUGAUUUAUUGUUAAGUGUUUUUAUUUUUUGUUUUUGUCUUGUAAAACUCAAACAUUUUUAGUUAUGUGACAUCAUGCGAAGGGAAAAAUAGCUAAAAUCAUCUCAUUCUCAUGUGUCAUAUGACCUUGUGAUAUGAAACGUUAACUCUCUCAGCACCCCGUGAGCCUAUGGGUGGCACCAGGUCGAAUGGGGCCUUAGUUAUAUAUCUAAGGGAUUGUGCAAUAUCUUUAGUGUGUCUGUUUUUCGUUCGACGAAAAUGAUAGGUGAACAUUAGGUCUAUGCCUGCCUUCGAAACCCCCUUGGUGUGCGACCGUUCAAUCCAUUUUCAUAAGCCUUUUGUGCCUAGUAAAAGUUGGUUGCUUAGUGUUGCUUGCAAUCCCCAUUAUCUCUACUUUCAUGUGCAAGGGUGACAUAUUACUUGCACUUUCGCCUUUCUAACAUUUUCUUCUUUGUGUUGGUCCUUUGUGGAUUACACGAUGUUAAAGUUCAGGCUGACCCCUGUGGAUUAUUGUUUGAGUGUCACAUGCCUUAGGCAAUCCAAGCUAAGGACAUGAUAGGAUGGUAUGCCAACAUGCACCGCAUGGUAUCAUUGAAAAUAUAAUAAUAAAUGAAAUAUCAAGUGGUAUUAAGCCUAUGGUUCUAUUAUCAGUUCUUGGUCAAACUAGUAAAUACAAACCGAUAAAUAUAAUAAUAAAUGAAUUUAGGUCAUGCUCCUAGAAAUGUGGAUUGGAUAUUGCUUUUAAUAAAAUUAUUAUCUAAUAUAACCUAAAUGUUGUUUAGAUGCUUUGACAAUCUAGAACUAAAAAGUUCAGCCUUUUCGACUCCCAAAAUCAAUGCCAUGACAAGAUGGGUACCUAAUUGAUGUAGCUAAGCUCAUGAAGUAUCAAAAUAUACAUGUCAAGCUUGCAUAACAUAAAUAAAAAUUUGUUUGAUCUUGAUAUUUACAAUUCUCAUAUUGUGAACCGCAGUCCUUUUAUUUUUUAAAAAAAUGAUAUGAGAACUUGGUCCAGAAAAGUAUACCUCUUCAUAAAAAUCUUCCUCAAGCUCAUCAAUAGUUUGACCUUGUGAUCUACUACCAUAUAUUGAAACUACUUCAGAGCUAGAUAAAAAGCUAAUUUUUUCAUGCGGAGGAGUGCCAGCAAGAGCACGAGCAACAGCAGCUGCUGCUGCUGCACGAGCAGGAACCUGUUGCAUAGUAAUGAUAACAGAUCAAAUAUCUUUAAACAAGUGUGUUUAUAUCCAAGACAGCAGAUAUCAAGCAGGUGAACUACCAAGAGAAGAGUAAAAAACAGACAAAGAGAAGUAUGAUGUCAGAAAAGAUAGUUUUAACAGUUUAAAGGAACUAAUUUGCCUACAAACACAGGAAGAGAUUAAAAGAAUGAAAUGAGACUUGACUUGUAUAAACAUGGUUACACACAAAAAUCAUGUGAGUUAAGCUUUUUGUUCGAUGAAUUUUUAGCAACUCCAAACCAAUUUAUUGAUUACAUAUCAAAUAUUUAAAGGUUAGGGCCAGCAUGAAAUGCAAAACAUGCAUCUGCUCUUCAUGCAUUAGAGGAACAAACAUCUACUACAGCACUACUGCUCUGUGUUAUGGCAUGGAUCCUCAACUAACAAAGCAUCCAAUAAAUCAGUAUGCAAGAGAUAUCACAUCCUAAAUGAGACAAGGAAAUAUUAUGCAAUAAGUUUAUAAUGAGUUGGUCCAACUGCUCUGUAAUUAUAUGUAAGUUCCACAACAGUGAAGCUUAGGCAAAAUGGUAAAUUAAACAUGAAAUUUUAUAGGGUGAAAAAAGCUUUAUAUGAAACCGCUCAAAGAGAUUUUAGAAUAUGUUAUCAUUGGAGUUUAAAUGUCCAAACAUAGCAAAGAACAGGAAAAAAGCAGCAUCCAGGUCAUACUUACAAAAGAUGCACAACUGGUAGUCAGAAGUUGCUACAAUAAGAUAAUGUAAAGAAAUUUAGGAUAAUAAACUCAGCUGAUGUACAGAAAUUUUGAACAGUUAAGCAUCUCAACGUAUUGGUGAUUCCUGCUCAGUCUCAAUUCACAAGUAAUUCCUCCAGUUAAAUUAGGGCGAAUUAAAACUGCAGAUGAGGUAACAAUUAUAGAGGUGCAUAUGUUACAUCUGUGAAUGAAUAUGGAUUUCAGGCAUUGUCCAAAUGGUAUUAACAAAAAGGACAAUUUAAGCACUAAUAUGGACUUUUGAGCACUUCUUUCACACCACUCCAUCUUAGAAUGUCUCAUUUGCAGUUCACAAUAAAAUGAGAUCUGAAUACAGAAAAAGAUGCAGACUUAAAGCUCAAAGUUCAAGAGACGGUCUUUACUUUUACAUACUGUCACAUUGCUGCUUAUUUCCUUGUAAUACCAAGGUGCAAACCAUUGGAUUAAGGAUAAGAUGGACAUUUAUACAAUUUUAUAAUAAGAUGCUAGGCCUUGCAUAUAAAACAUAAGGCCCAUAAUAGUAAACAGCUAUUUUAUGCUACAAGCUUAGUAUGAACAGGAUCAAAAAGAAUAAAAGAAUAAACAAUUUAAGGCCUUGCAUAUCUAAUUCUUCAAAGAAAGUCUAAUAACAUCGUAGAAGACCAGCGUGUACAGAAAUUGAUUACUAUUACCGAGCACCCUUUCACGAAUAAAGAACAGUACGAAUAUAUGUAAGAAAUAGUUUUGGUAAUGCAUAGCUCAUCCGAAAGCUCAAUUAUAAUUCUUAUGUAACAUUGUGUCAUGAAAAUUACCUACUUCCUGUCCUAAAAGCUAAAGUCUACAAACUCACUUGAUGUUGCUAAAAAAUACAGAGCCGUAAUCAAUAAGAGCCUAUUUGGUCGUGCUGCAGAUAUCCCAUGCAUGAAACUUUGUUGAACCAUCAACAAUUGAAACAUUUAUGAACCACAUGAUGUAAAUAGCAUAUUACAUGAAUUUUUGUAUCAACUCUUCCAAGCAUAAUAAAUGAAUUUUUCUAUCAAUUCUUUCACCAAAAUAUUUAUUCUACACUAAACUAGAAAAAUAGCACACCAGUUCAAUCAACCCUCCAUAUUUUGGGGUGGUUUCAUCAUUAAAUUUACCCUGCACAUCAAAUCAGAAAAUAGCUUUCUGACAAUGGAUUUAUCUAACAUCAUGAGUGGAGUUUAUGGACUGGUAACUUUGUGGAAACCAUGAUCUUGGAUAAGAACCCAAAAGGCAAUUUAAGGUCUGGAAUUCUCAGAUUUAAUGAAUAAUUUUCUCUUAUGACUUUAGUGAUAACACCAGUUUUCCUUAAAAGGCUCUUGCCAUUUCCCAUGUAGAGAUGGCACUUUUCCCAAGUAUUGCCCAAGUGUUACUUGUCAAAAUCUAAAAACCUCAUCUGCAUUUGCGGCAUGUCCCUGAUAGUCUCACGCCAAGAGUAUAUGAGAAUGUGAAUUGGUACAUAAAUAUCUAAUAUCCUACCUCAAGUAAUUCAGUUUAAGCAUUGCGAGCCAAUUUGGUGGUGCACAUGGCUGAGUUACUAAAAUAAGAGGCUACCUCAGUUGUUACAAACAAAGAUUUUAAUUUCGAAUGAUACCACCCGUACCGGGCGGUACCGUCGAUUGGGGUUGUUUCCGCCCCGUUACCGCCCGAAAUCGGUCAGCAACGGUCGAUUUCAACCGUCGCCGCCCGCUACCAUGCGAUAUUAGCCGAGGAAGAAAGAAGAGGAAGAAGAAAAGGGAGAACCUGGAGAUCCGGCGCCGCUCUCCCUCGACCAUCCCGAUUCGUCGCCGCCCUCCCUCGUCGGACGCCGCAGACGAGAUGUCGCCUCCUCCUCAUUUAAGGUGACAAGGCCUCGAUGUCGUCGGUGACUUCUCCUUAUCCGCGCAGGGAGAAGAAAACGCGCGGGGAGAAGAAAACGAGGUUUCUUCUCCUCACGCGGGAAGAAGAAACGAGGCGACGUCGCCCUUUUUUUAUUAUUUAUUUUAUUUAUUUAUUUAUUAUUAUUAUUAUAUAUACCGACCGGUAUGCCAGAGCAUACUGCUCGGUACGCUCAUACCGUACCAUACCAAGCUGAGCUCAAAGCGUCGGUACAGUACAAAAUUACGAACGUAGGUUACAAAUUUAUCAGAGCAUAAAUGUAACGGGCCGAACAGCUGACAAUGUACAAGAAAUGUUGGGAUCUAAUGUGUGUUAUGGCAGUUACCCUCGAAGCAGCAGGGGCAGCAGGACCACCAAGAAUGGUGAGAAAAACAUGGUACUUGCCUUUGGAUUUAGUAUCGCCUGCAAGGAUCCUAAAGACCCAAAUAGGCUGCAACAAUUACAUCAGGAAUUUGAGGUGUUGAGGUUAUUACUUAUUAUACCACUGAAUAAUUUCCACGAUGAGAAUGUAUGACAAUUAGAAUUAACAUAUAAAAUCUAGUAUGCUACUGCUUAUAAACGAGAAUCAUUUUGGGCUGCAUCAGUGCCGAAUUAAAAUGCUAUUGUGCUAGUAGGCCAAGCGAGAUAUGAUAGCCCAUACCUUCCAUAGAAGCUCUAAACAGAGCACGAUAACAUACUAACAAAGCCAUGUCAUGUAGAAGAACCUGCUAAUUUCGCCACCUAGCAGUAACCCAGAUAAGCCAAAGAGAGCACGAAGGACAUAUGCUACGCCACUGGAUGCAAAGAGGACCAAAUGCUCUAGAACACUUUAUUUAACCAAGUGCUCUUUCUUUAUGAGGAUAUUCCGAAGCAAUCUCUUAUGAGAAACCCUUGAGCUUGGCAGCAAGUGCAACUAAGGACCACAUUUUGUUGUUUUCAGGAAAUCAAUUCGGACUAAGACCAUCUAAAGCACCCAGAUAAACUAGAAGAAUUAAUUAAAUCAAAAACACUGACCAAGGAAUUUAUGAAGACAAAAACUUGAUCAUAAAUAUAGUUAGAACAAUAAUUAAUACUUUCAAGCGUUAGUGUUAUAUACUAACAUUUCGCAUAUCACAACAUAAGCAAUUUUUUCAGAUUAGAAAGACUACAGCCUCCGAGGGAGAACAAUCUGCUGGCCCUUCUGCCUCUUGGGGAUAUAGGGUCUUCUUGAUAUUCACGUCUAGCUGGGUGAAAAGAGAGCUUACCUUAUAACUAAUGGUGAAGCUAGUCUCAAGAUCCAAGUUCAGAUUAAAGCACAUUUCACCCCACGAAAGAGUUGCUUUUAUUCUUUUUGCCGAAUAUAGUUAUGCCAUAAUCAGAACUCUUUGUGAAAGAAGAACCCUUUCUUGAAUGGUCAAUGAAGAAUCCAACUCAAAUCCUCAAUGUAUCAUAAUGAACUAAGCUUGUACUAAGAAUAUUCAAGAAGGAAAAGAAAAAAGAACAAAGGCGAACCGAGAAAGAUCGCACCUCCGGCCGAUCGGAAGAGGAAGGGAGAAGGCCGAGAGAUCUAGCGGAGCGGACGGAGCUGAUUAUCUUCUCCCCGACCUUGGAGAGAUCCAUUCCUCCCCCCUGGAUGAAGAGCAAGGGGAGGAAGAGGAGGGGCCCCGGGGCCUCAAACUCCGGGAUCGAGCGGCCGUCCAGGAACGAUGGGGGAUCUCCCGUCGGAUCCGGCCGCAUCUCAGCUCCGGCGUCCAGCGAUGACAGGAAACGAACCGGCGCUCAUCGAUCUCAUCACAAGAUCAAGAAAAAGGCGACGACGACGCGAGCGAGGGUUUCGAAGGCGAUCCGUGGCGGCCGAGAUCAGAUCGGGAUGGCGGAAAGCGAGCGGCGCGGCACCCGAUCGGCGUCGUCGGCAAUUAUUAUCAAGAAGAGUGGAAGCGAAGGCGAGAGAGGUGUGCAGGUUGUGCGGUCGUCUUGGUUAACGGAGACCCGACGCCGUCUUAUGGAGGUCGCCACUGCCCACCUCGAAAACUAAAACACCAAGAACCACGCACGUGCGACGCACGCGAGGUUCUUGGCACGACCGUUAUAACGUUAUACAGACCUUCGAUCGCCGUUUUGGUCCGGCUUAACCCGGGCCAUCUCUUUGGUCGCCCGUCCCCAGUCCACAAAGAACCAGACACGUGGAACGCAGGCGAGAUUGUUGACAUGACCGUCAUAAUGUUAUAAGUCUUUUUAAUAGCCAAUUGUAACAUUAUGAUGUUCUAAUGGCUACUGCUGCGACAUGAAGUAAUUGGUGUUUGAAAUUUUGGUAAAGUCUUGGAGUUACCAUGAUUUAGGUACGUUUGAAACGUACUAUAUUAGUCCAAAACACAUUUUAAAUAUUAAUUAGUAUUUGAUAAAUUAUUUUUAAAUUACAUGCUAUAUUAAAAAUAUUCAAAUAUCGAUAUUAUCUUAGAGGAGCAUUGGCAUCUCACCAUUUAUAAAAUAAUAAUAUAAUAUUUUAAAUUUUUGAAGUACCUUAUAAAAUUAUUUUAAAUUACAAGAUUACCAAAACGAUUUUACAAGAAACAAACAUAAUUUAUCAAUUUCUAUUAAGUAAUUUUUUAUUUUUUUUAUUUUUAUAUAAUUUUUUAUUUAUUAUAUAUUUAUGCCAUACAAAAUUUUUUACAAGAUUAUAUAUAUGUAAAAAUAUUUUUUAUUUAUUGUAUAUUUAUGCCGUGUGAAUGUUUUUACAAUAUUACAUAUUUUUUAUCUUUUUUACUUAUUAAUUUAAAUAAAAAUAUUUUUUAUUUUAAAAAAUAAAAAUAUUAAAAUUAUUAGAAGGGUAAAUUUAUCGAAAAAAAAGUAAUGAACUUUUGAAGUAUAAUUUUACUAAAUAAUAUUCACGUCAAUGCAUACUUAAAAUAUAAUCAAGCAUUCGAAGUAUUUUAUAAUGGCACAUUCACUCAACCUCUCUCUGUAACUAUAUUAGAAAUGAAAAUGUAUUUCCAAACACAGCCUUAGCCUUCUCAUCUCAAAAUCUUGAUUUAUAUUUAUAUUUAUAAUGCUUAAUGGGAAAUCUUUGUCUCCAUUUUUAAGAAUAAUAUGAUAUCUUGAUUGAAUGCAAUUUUUUAUUAUCUCAUACAUAUAUGAUAAACAUGUUUUUAUCCUUACACCAAAAGACCCAUAUUAAUCUAAAACCCUAAACCUAUGAACAAAUUGAGCAAAGGAAAUAGACAAUUUAGUUCCAAUUCCAAAUGAUUAGAAGUAUUGUUGUGUUCAUGAAUUUGUUAUCUUAGAAUUCCGUUCAAGGAAUUACACUAUUUUAAGUAUAGAAACAAUUUAUAUAUCUUUGUAUAAUAUUGUCAGUCGUUAAUCUUGGACAAUUAUAAGUAUCAGGCAUAAAUCAUAAAAGGAUUUGUUCUGAUGCGGUAGCAUAAAUUCCACCGAUGGCUUUUGUGAGAGACGAGAACUGAACAUUGACCAUAUAAAAGCUUUUCAAAAUUAGCAUAAAUAAAUAAAUCCAUAAUCUAAAAUCGUCAGGUUCUAUAAAGAAUAUUUCAAAUGGAUUGAAGAACAUGAUGAUUACUACGAUAUAAUUAAAGAUGAAUCUUUUUUAUAAAUAUUAGUGUCAAUUAUUUUUUAUUAGCCUCAUGAUUCGUGUCUUUUAAAUUAUAAUAACUAUAUUGAUCUCACAUUUUAAAUAUUAGUGUUGUGGUAAUAUAUCAAAUUCACUCAUCAAAUAUUGAGGAUUUGAUAUCUCAUUUCAUAUAUAUUUAAAGAAAAAACUGUAUGGAUCGUAUGGAAGGGAUCCAAUUAUCAAAACAAACAUUAAUUCAGAUACCACAUAUAAUUCACUCCUCAAUCAUCAAAUUAUAAUUACAUAUAAUUCACGGUCAUGUUCGGCGACCUAAAUUACGGUUCGAGAUGGGCCGGACUAAACCGGCGAUUCAAGGUAUUUAUAACGUUAUAACGGGCGUGUCACGAACUGGCGUGCGCUGCACGUGUCUGAAACGGGCAGUGACGACGGCGUCGGGUCUCCGUUAGCCGACGACGACCGUUCGACAAAUCAUCCUCCGCGAACAAUUGCAGAAGACGCCGAUCGAGGCUCGCGCGAGUCACCCUCCCUGAUCCGAUCGCGGCCACCACCGUCGCCUUCUUCUUGAUCAUGCGGCGAGAUCGAGGAGCGCGAGAGGCCGUGGAGAGCUGGCGGAGGAGGAGGAGGUCUACCGGGGAUGCGGAGGGCGGCGGGGUGAGGAUGGGGCGGAAAUGGAUCGGGCGGCUGAGAGGGGCAAUGCUGGCGGAGAGAACCAAGCCAUGGAUCUUCGGACGAACGACAGUCGGUUCCUUUGGUGGCGAACGGCGAACAAAUUGCGAGUGAUGAGCGGGGUACUUCCUUUGGUAGUUAGCCAACCAACCAAGACUUGUCAUCUCAUGUUGUUUGGGUGUUUGGAAAAC
Molecule: long non-coding RNA, 55116 nt
Filed under: Musa acuminata (dwarf banana)
Lineage: Eukaryota; Viridiplantae; Streptophyta; Magnoliopsida; Zingiberales; Musaceae
Description: long non-coding RNA (MACU_LNC000008)
Source: RNAcentral